GUCAUUGUUUGAUUUUUGGUUGUUUGAUCACACUCGAAAUCAUGUAUCUACUUAUCGUAUUUUUACCCCUGCUCGAUAGUUUUGUAGCAGGUUGUUUCGGAUGUUCUCUAGAAAAUAUUCAGGUUGUGACGCGUAUAUCUCGCUCUAUUUAGAUUUAAGCUUCACUAUGGCAUAAUCUAUACUCAUCCAACAAUAACUGUCACCUGUAAUCCGAGUAGGUGUGUCUCCUAGAGUGAUUGAUUUUGAUGCACUACUUUCUGAAUAGUUUAUAGGUUCUGAAUAUCAAAGUUCUUUAUUCUAGCUGCAAUAAUGUAUUUGAUUAUUAGGACAAGCAUUACAUCAUUGACAACAUAGACUAUAUUGAUUACAUUAAUAGGGACACAUUGAAUCGAUCUUUAAAAAGAUGACGGAGAUUUGUGGGUAUGCCUAAGUGUGGAAAAUCUGGUAAAUGAUGGGGAUUGAUUUCUACAGAUUUUGAAACAUGUGCAGUUAUAGAGUCGGAUUCUGAAAAUGAGAGUUAUAGAGUUGAAUAAGAAGGCAGUGAGACAUGGACUUGGUUCUUGACUUAUUUGGCUGAUGAUUUUAAAUAUGCAUGACAAUGAGGCUUGUUGGACUUUUAUAUACGACAAAAAAGUAAUCUUCGGCAUUAAAGUAGACAACUGACUUACCUAGAUGAGUCCCAUGUUGAAUAUCAAUAGUAGAAGAAGCUGUUGUAGCUGCCAGAGUUGUUUGGACAGUAGCAGCAAAUGUGGGCUUCGAUUUGUCAUUUUGAUUGUAGUCCUCUUUGGGGAUAUUAUUGUUAUUGGUAUCAGUAGGAGGGGGUUCAGAUUUUUGCUGGCUGUUCUGUUUUGCGGGACUGAUGUCUUUAAAAUUUUUCUCUUAUGUAUACAAUUAGUUGAGAUUAGUUAUAUGAAUCCUCGAGAUCCAUUUAUCUUUGGUUAUAUCAAUCCUCAAUGUAGAAACAUUUUUUUAUACUAAAGUGGCUGGGGAUUUCAAUGUGCUUGAUGUGGAACAAGGCUGCUAGUUGCGAGCUGCUAUGUAAUUUGUGCAGAAAACAAGAGACACCUACUAUAUAAAGGGGCAGAGAGAUACGUUCUUUUUCAUGCACGCAAGCUUCAUAGAUAGUAAUUUUUUUUUUGGAUGAACAAGUAUGCAUCUUCUGUAACUCUGAAGCCACUGCUGUGGUUUGAAACUGCAAAAGGUUAAGUUAAGGCAAUCUGUCUGACAGAGCCCUUUUAAGUUGUACAUAUUGCACUUGGUAAUAAAAUUCUUUAUCUACCCCCAAAAAAGAGUUCCAAAUAUCAAUAAUUAGAUCUGGAGCAUUUUCAUAAUAGCUAAGUUUACUGGAACAACUAAUAAUAAUCUUUCAUCCUGAAAAAGCAGGGGAACCAUCCACAAGGUUUCCUUUAACAUUCUUUGUGUACAAGUCGGAAUCAAGUUAUAUGAAUCCUCAUUAUACAAGAUAGAACUACAAGUCUGAUACUAAAUACAACAGACACGAUGGAGAAAGAAAACAAAUCAUGACAAGGCUUCAUCAUUUCGAUCCAUGCACUCAACAGAAAUUACGGAAUUAGCUUCCACUUCUUCAAAUUCAAUAGUCCAAAACAAGUUUAGGUUGCAUCUCCCAAUUUUUUUUGUAAAAACAGUGUAUAUCACUACAAAAAUUAGUAUAAGAAAUAUCAGCAACAUAGAUGCGAGUGAAUCAUCAUGUCACGACCCGAUCCUACACUCUGGACGUGGCCGGCACUCGAGAACCAUUGUUGGUCCCCAAGAGAACCCUUGGCAUGUCUAACUAUAGACAUGAGACUCAAUAUGAUAUGCAGAAGCCUUAAAUAAAUGAGCAUUUAAAUCAUUUGAUUUAUAGUUUUGAAACACUUCUUGGAAUACAUAGCAGGAAUAAGUUCCAAUAAAAUCAUCGGGAGAAAAACAUUAAAACAUCUGACUCUGCCUAUCUAUGAAGCCUCUAUUGUUAAGGAAGGAUGUUGGGACAAGACCCAGGACACCUCAAUACUACUAAACAGAAUAUAAAAGUGGAGUCCUUCGGAAGCAAGAAGGUCUCACCAAAAGCUAUCAAGAAGUGUGAAGUGAUCUCAAUGGAGCGCCUGUUGAUGAUCCCAAACACCAGUAUCUGCAUCAUAAAAAAAGAUGCAGGUCGAAUGACAUCAGUACAUUGAAUGUACGAGUAUGUAAUAUGACUGAAUAAACAAAUAAUUGAACCGAAGGACUGAAAGCAACUCAACUGAAUCAAUACAUGAACGUGAAAUGAAAACCAUUUAAGCUUUACAAUAAGAUAUGGUUUAAAAGCAAUAUGAAAAUAGUAUACUUUACUUUGUGGGAGAUUUCUCUAACCGACAACCAUCACUAUGAGCCUAGCAAUGAUACAACGUUUCACCCAUGUUGCAAGGGCCAUCCUAUACUUUGCCGGGGUAUAGGAUGAUACUGUAACUAUGGAACCAUCUAAUAGUCUUUUUCAGAGGCAGUGAGGAGUCGCAUGAAGAAUCAGUACUAUCCUAUCCUACGCUGGCUACAUCAUUUAUUGAGACUUUUGAGUUAUAAAAGAAUCUUAGCCAAUCCGGUGCUCGAUACUACCAAAAUAAUCAAUAUCAAUUAUGCUCAAUCAACUUUACAAAGAAAGGGACUAUUACUUUACUUUACUUUUCACUUUGCUCAAGCACCUUUUACAAAGAAAAGGACUAUUACUUUACUGAAGUACUUUUCAAAAACAUCAUACUCUUUUUUCUCAACGGUCAAAUAGUACAUAUGAGACCAUUUGAUUCUUUCUUAAAAGACUUUGUUCAAAACUUGCAUUUAAAACGUAUACUUAUGGACUUAUCUUUCAAGUCCAAGAUCGAUAUAUAAAAAAUGAAAACUCUUAUACUUUUCUAAAAAUAGUACUCUCUUUCAAUAUAAAAAUGAUACAUUCGGAGCCCUUUAAGUUCCCUUAAUUCAUUUUUCAAAAUAAUGCUUAAUUUUUCUCUUAAACUCACUUUAGUUUGAAUGUGCACUAAGACAAGUGAUUAGGUUAUGCAAGAACUUUCAAAGGUAAAUGGAGCCUAUAGGAGCUAAUACAAAGAAGGGAAACGUGGUCACAACUUAGAGGAGCAUGCGUCGGAUGAAAUAAGGAAAAGAAUCGGCCCGGCUACCCUUGGCGCACUGCUGGCACAUGGUGCCAGAUCCUGAACUUCAGAAGUCAUGCCUGGGUGCACUGCUUGCGCAGGGCGUCUGCGCCUUCUUGGUGUGCCGCCCCAAGCUCCUCCCUAAUAUCCCUGAUGAACUCAAGUUAAAUUAGGACACCAAAUUAGUUUGGAUUUGGGAAAUUUUCCCCAAUCUCUACUUAUCUUACAACCUAAAAUUAAUAUAUGAGAAACUUUCAUACAAUUUAUUUUGAAAACAUAACCUUACUAAAUCAAUAGGGUUCAUCUGAUACUAAGCAUUAACAACAUUAUAAGAUUCACAUGUAAAAAUAGGAAUCAAAACCUCAAUUGUUAAAGAACUGAAUUCAAUAUCAAGAACUAUGAAUGAAUCCUUUAGAUGUGACAAUUUCUGACCGAAUUGAGAUGUAGGGCGUGAGGAAGAACUAGUCCACCACUAUGAAUAGCCUUACAUACCUGGAAAGAACAAAGGUCCUUGGUGAAAUCGAUGGAAACUUGAUGAACGCUUGAACCCUAGCCUUUUCUCCUUUUGUAACAUUGCUCUAAUUCUUCUAAGUGUUAAAGAACGUGAAAAAAUGUUUUAACGCUGUUUAGACCCAUAAUUAGGUGGAAAAAACGUGGCUUAGGCUUAGAAGGGAUAGGAAAAGACCAAACUACCCCUCUAAUAACGGUUGAGGUGCCUUACAAAAAGAGGCUUUCACUAAAACGAGUAUAUCUUUUUACUCCAAACUGGAAAUGAAGCAAACUUGAUGACGUUGGAAAGAACUUUUAUUUGGUAGGUCAUGGGUCACCUAAAUCUUUUAUGUAUUGAAAGAUAUGAUUGUUUGAAGUUGACCUAAGUAGAAUCUUAGGUCAAAACUUAAUCAGUAAACAAGCUUUCAACUUAACUUUGUGGUAGGGGAUUCUAGUGACCUUAAUUAAUACCCAAAACCAUCCCAUACUAAAGGAUUGAAGUUAACACCUAAGAAUUUCUCGAUGGUGAAUUGUUUCGUACUAUAUACAUGUACACUGCCAUUCUUCAAAAUCCAUACAUUAGAAGUAGUAGCCCCUUGAAAUUAGAGAAAGGUAACUUCCCUCAACUCCCAAUUUGAAAUUAGAAUUAUCUUAUCAACAAAUGGGAAGCUUCAAGAUAACCCAUGUCCCGUCUGAUACAUCAAAAGAAAUGAUCUUGCGCACAUUGAAAUCCUAUAUAGGUGUAGGUCAGGUGUUUUUUAUACUUUAUGACACACCCGAGCCUACACCCUGGACGUGAUCGACGCUUAAGAGCCAUUACUGGUCCCUAAGUGAACCCUUAGCCUAGCUGACUACUUAGUGAAAGACUUACUCAAGCAUUUAAAGGCUUUAAAUAGAAGUAAAUCCUUAAAAUUGUAAUAUUUUCAAUUCAUAUUGUCUGAAAAAAAUACUCAAUAUAACAAUAAUAUUUUGCAAAACAUCUCAAAGAAAAAGAAAGUAUUGAGAGACUCCUCAACUCUAUUAAUCUAUGAAUCCUCAAUAAUCUAAGACAGAUAUCAGAACAAGACCCACGAUAUCUCAAGACAACUAACUAGAAAAUAAAUGUGAAGUCCUCUAGAAUGCAAGGAGGCUUACCCAAGCUAUCUGAAGCGCAAAGUGAUCUUAAUAAAGUGUCUAUUGAUGAUCCAAAACACUUGAAUCUGCAUCAUAAAAAGAUGCAGGUCGUAUGACAUCAGUAUAUUGAAUGUACAAGUAUGUAAUAAAGCUGAAUGAAUAAAUAACUGAACUGAUAAGGCUGGGAUAAUACUCACCUCAACUCAACUCAAUACAACGCAUUAUCAAGAGAUGGAGUAUUUAAAGCUUCAUAAUUAAAAGAUGCUAACUCAAGGAUGCAUAUGAAAGUACAUUAAAUUACUCUUUAACUCUUAUUUGAGAGAUUCUCUAACCGACAACCAUCAUUAUGAGAUACACGAUGAUAAAACGUCUCGCUCACACUGCCUGAACCGUCUUAUACCUUGCUAGGGUAUAGAACACCUCAACUAAGUGGAUCUACUAAAGCUCUGCUCGAAAGCAGUAAAGAGUCGUCUAAAAAGUAAAAUCCUUUACCCAUGUUAGCUACUUGGUUUAUGAGAAAUGUGAGUUUUCUGAACUCAUCCCCAUAUCGGUGCUCAAUACUACUCCCAAUAAAUAUAUACUCAUGCUCAAAUGUAUAAAACAAACUCUUUCUCAAUUUGAGGUAACUGCUCAAAAUAUCCUUGUAAAAGAGGUGCUGCUCUGAAAUAUCUCUGAACUCAUUAACUUGUUUAGAAAUCAAAAUUUCUCAUUUCUCAAUGUAAAAAGGGACACAUUUUGGAAUUCUUAGUUCCCUUAUACUCUUACUCAAAUCAUUCUUUAAACUCUACUUAAAUCUCAUCUUUACUUUCUCAAAAAUCAAUUUAAGACAGAAUAGUUUGGUUAAAAGGUUUCUCAAUAAAAACUCAGUAAUAACUUAAGAAUCUUAAUGAAAGAUAUAAUAAAUCAAAAAUUAAGAAUAAAAUUCGGAACUCAAAAACGAAACUCAUCUCAAGAAUUAUAAAGACUAAGGGGUCGUUUGGUAGAGUGUAUAAGAACAAUGCAAAAUAAGGUGUAUUAGUAAUGCUUGCAUUAGUAGUGCUUGCAUUUAUAGAGUGUAUAAGAACAAUGCAAAAUAGAGUGUAUUAGUAAUGCAUGCAUUAGUAGUGCUUGCAUUAGUUAUGCCUGCAUUAUUUCUUAUACACUGUUUGGUUUGGUGUAUUAGAAAUAACAAAUCUUACAUAAUUUCUAUUAAAAAAAUGUAUGUUAACAAAAAUACCCUUCACACUUUAUUUCUUUGUACACUUCCUUUGCAACAAGGUUCUUUGCUAAAACAUCAAAAAAGAUUUCUUUGCUAAAACAUUAUUUACUCCUAUUCUCUUAUUUUUUUCAAAUAUAAAAUUAAAUAGUUGUUACAAUAUUGAAAUAAGGUUUUCUACUAUAUUAGAAGAGUCAGUCCCUAUUGGUAUCAACAUGUGUUUUUUUUUGUCAAAUUUCAAUUUAGAAAGGAUACUGUCGUCAUUUCCAUUAACUAUUCAAUUCUCAAUAUUGUGCCAUCUGUUUUUGAUUGCCACCACAUUAUAACAGGUGGCUUUCAUGCAUUUCCUUUUCCAUUCCUCUUUUCUUCUUUUUGUAUUUUAAUCAAUUCCUAUCUGAAAAAAUUAUUGUUGUAAUAAGCAAAAGGGAAAAGAAGGAAAAGAGAGUCUUGUAAAUUAGCUUGCAGUUGAAUUUUUUUCAUGUCUAUAAUUUUCUUUGAAGAAUUAUCUACUAUGAAUUGUUUCAAGAAUUUGCAAUGUUGUUAUAAAAUAUUGUGUCUAAAAUUUGUUAUUUGAAUUGUAAGUUCACUUUAUCUGCAGUUUAGGAAGUAUGGAAUUAAGGGGGACAUUCUUUUUUUUUUACAAGGGUAGGAAGUUGUAACAAAAAUCUAAUAUUUAAGUUUCUUAUUCUUCCGCAUUCAGCUUAUACAAUCCUCUGUUAUUGGAGUUCUGUUUUAGUUAUUGAAGAAUCAACUUGCAACUUCAAAUUGUUUCAAUUGAUAUAUGGUCUUUUGAUUCUAGAACAUUGUUUCAAGGGAAAUGCAAAUUGAAGUGGUAGAAGUGAUUAUUUGUUCAUUUAAUUGAGCAGAGAUCAAUGUAAACAUAAAUAUGCAAUCAUGACGUUUUAGCCUUCCAAUGGAUCACUCUCUUAUCACUGAUCAAUUCUAGAUUAUUCCAUCCCCAUGCAAUAUUGAAUUCACUUCUUCUAUCACACACAUUCAUCAACUCAUAUAUAAAUUAACAAUAAAAAAUAGAGACCAGACAGAGAAAUACAAGACAGAUUAAACAACUGUCAUAACAGCUAUCUAAUUGCAUUUCAGAAUCUCAAAAUUAAAUGGCUACACGAGAAUUUGAAGAGCUGUAAUGACAACUAUAUUGAAACGACCCCAAAAAUGCCCGAAAAUGUGCUUUGGAAACACCUAGAAUUGUAAUUUCCAUAUAUCUCAAAAUCCGUGCAUGAUUUUGGAAAUUCGACUUCAUAUUCUUAUUCAGGGGAUCAAAUUGAGUGGGAAAUGGGACUAACCCGAAUUUUAGAGCAACCGUAUCAAAAUUCGAAAAUCGCAAAAAAUGCGAUUUGGAGGGUCAACUUUAAAGAGCCAUAUCUCUUAAAACACAAGGAACUGGAAGGGCCACUACCUAUUAAAUUAAAUCCCUUUGAGUUAGCUUUCCAAUGCACUUGGUUUCACCUCAUUCCGAGUUAGGAUGANNNNNNNNNNNNNNNNNNNNNNNNNNNNNNNNNNNNNNNNNNNNNNNNNNNNNNNNNNNNNNNNNNNNNNNNNNNNNNNNNNNNNNNNNNNNNNNNNNNNNNNNNNNNNNNNNNNNNNNNNNNNNNNNNNNNNNNNNNNNNNNNNNNNNNNNNNNNNNNNNNNNNNNNNNNNNNNNNNNNNNNNNNNNNNNNNNNNNNNNNNNNNNNNNNNNNNNNNNNNNNNNNNNNNNNNNNNNNNNNNNNNNNNNNNNNNNNNNNNNNNNNNNNNNNNNNNNNNNNNNNNNNNNNNNNNNNNNNNNNNNNNNNNNNNNNNNNNNNNNNNNNNNNNNNNNNNNNNNNNNNNNNNNNNNNNNNNNNNNNNNNNNNNNNNNNNNNNNNNNNNNNNNNNNNNNNNNNNNNNNNNNNNNNNNNNNNNNNNNNNNNNNNNNNNNNNNNNNNNNNNNNNNNNNNNNNNNNNNNNNNNNNNNNNNNNNNNNNNNNNNNNNNNNNNNNNNNNNNNNNNNNNNNNNNNNNNNNNNNNNNNNNNNNNNNNNNNNNNNNNNNNNNNNNNNNNNNNNNNNNNNNNNNNNNNNNNNNNNNNNNNNNNNNNNNNNNNNNNNNNNNNNNNNNNNNNNNNNNNNNNNNNNNNNNNNNNNNNNNNNNNNNNNNNNNNNNNNNNNNNNNNNNNNNNNNNNNNNNNNNNNNNNNNNNNNNNNNNNNNNNNNNNNNNNNNNNNNNNNNNNNNNNNNNNNNNNNNNNNNNNNNNNNNNNNNNNNNNNNNNNNNNNNNNNNNNNNNNNNNNNNNNNNNNNNNNNNNNNNNNNNNNNNNNNNNNNNNNNNNNNNNNNNNNNNNNNNNNNNNNNNNNNNNNNNNNNNNNNNNNNNNNNNNNNNNNNNNNNNNNNNNNNNNNNNNNNNNNNNNNNNNNNNNNNNNNNNNNNNNNNNNNNNNNNNNNNNNNNNNNNNNNNNNNNNNNNNNNNNNNNNNNNNNNNNUACUUCAAAGUUUAUCAUGGACAACCAUCCACAUCAUUGUCUGACGAUCAUGUUCACCCAUACGUAAAAAUAAUUCCAUCUUUUUGUCGUCUUUACAGAGAAUCAUUGCAGCUUUUAUACGUUGCUCUGUGGUGUACAACUCAAAUACAGGGGAUUCAAGGAUAGAAUAAACUUGACCACGAACAUCAGAUCGAUCACGAUCCCCCAUCUUUUCAAUCAAGGAACCAAUUCUUUUGUCUUGACUUUCAGUAAAGUUUUUCAUAACUUCCAUCAUACCCUUAAGAAAUGUCUCACUAUCAUCCUCUACUAUUUUUUUCCUUUUCUUGCUUUUCUCUUUCUCAUUAACAUUAGAAGAUGAUCUUUUAGAAUACUCACCUUGUUUAUGACUUUUUUGGGAUCCAGCAUGUUCAUUUUCAGAACCAGUAACAUUUUUCUCCUUCAUUAAAUACGCUAGGUCCAGUGACAUUUUCAGCUCCAGUAAAUGAACUAUGUUCGGUGAAACCUUUAGCUGUAGCAAAUUCAUCUUGUCCAGUGACAUUUUCAGCUUCGUACCAAUUUUAGAGCUAUGGUAAGCAUUUUCUUCUUCUUCUUCAUCAUCAUCAAGAUCAACAUCAAUAAGAAAUCCCAAACUCAUGUCAUUAGAAUGUUGUGGAGCUUGACUCUUUUGAAUUUCUUCAGUAGCAUCUAGCGGCCCUUCAACAAACUCUCCUGUUGCUCUAUCCUUACCAAAGAUUUCUUCCCAAUCCUUAAACAGUGGCCAUUUCUUAGUAUUCAUUUUCUUGGCUUGUGGAUCAAUCUAGAAAAUUAAAAAAUAAAAUAGAACAAUAUGAUAUUAAUUAAUUGUAAAAGGAUCUAAAGAGAGGCUAGAUGCUACUGUAUAUGUGAUGAUAACAAUUUACUUGAUCACUAGUUUAAAGGCACAUCAACUAUGAAUAAUUAAAGUAACUAACAAGGAAAGUACCAUAUGAAAUAACAAAAACAUAUUAAUUACCUUUAUAAAGUCAAUCCAAUGUUUUGGAUCGUCAACUAUUAUAGUUCCAUCACUAUAUUGAAAUCCCAAACCACUUCGAGUCUUCAACAAAGCUAUACUUCCAUAGCAUCUUUUCCAAUAUCUCAUUUUAUUUUUGAUGUGUGGUUCACUUUUCAAUCCACUUCUAGGAUGAUAUUUGUGUAUAUAACGCUCUAACUCCAUCAAGUGCCCUGGUCUAAAGGUUCCAUUAUCACCUCUCCAACCAUUAGCACACAACUCUUUAAGCCCGUCUAAAAGAGUUUCCAACCAUCUAAAAGAGUUUGUUCUUCUUCUGGAAUCCAUGUCUUUCGUGUUGAAGGUGUUGUGUUGCUUGGUAUUUUUGAUUUCUUAUUUGAUGAUGUUUGACUAUUCAUUUCGCCUAUAAGAACUUGUGCGACAGAUUAUUAAAAAAAUCAGAAAGAACCAAAUAUCAUAAGAUUCACUUUAAACUAAAGCAUACAACAAAAGAGAUGUGAAAAGUACAUAAGGGUGUGCAAUUAAGGUCACAAAAAAUCAGAAGUUUCUGGCAGUUAAACUAUUUAUACUAGGCCAGUUCUAAAGAGCAAAUGAAGUCCAAAAAGGUUCUAUAGCUAACAAGUAGCAACAUAGUUCAAAAUGUAGCAAUAUGUCAAUUGUUAAAUCUUGCAUUCCACAUUGAUUAAGCCAACUCAUCCCUCCAAGUGGUCCACUCCUCCGACGAUUCAAUAACAUCAAUAUUCUCGUGUUGAUACUCCAUUUGUUCUUCUAUAUCAAUGUCUAAGGGAUCCACUUCCAUCUCUCUACGAAUGAAAUUAUGAAUCAAGCAGCAAGCACUAAUGAUCCUGUUAUGAACCUUAACCGAGUACCAUGAAGAACUUCUAAGAAUUCCCCAACGUCCUUUCAACAAACCAAAUGCCCUUUCAAUUACAUUACGAGCUCUAGCAUGCCUCAUGUUGAAAAGCUCUUCUUUACAUCGAGGCGAUGGAUUAUCGCCGCGCCAAUCCUUUAACCAAUAUCUAUAACCUCGAUAAGGUGAAAGAAAUCCUUUUCCAUUCGUAUAUCCUCCAUCACACAAAUAAUAGUUACCUAUAAUAUAAACAUAUAAUUUAGUUACUAGUACCAUUCUUUCUAUGAUGUAACUUGAAAGCAUAUAUAAGGCCUACCCUCAUGAAUUUUCAAACCAUUCCUUCGUACUAUAGCAUCUCGUAAUACACGACCAUCGGCAGCUGAACCUUCCCAUCCAGGUAACACAUAAGUAAAAUUGAGAUUUCUAUCACAAACUCCCAAAACAUUAGUUGCUAUCUCUCCUUUUCUUGUUCUAUAUCUUGGUUUGUGUUGGAUUGGAACUCUAAUGGGAAUGUAAGUACCAUCUAGUGCACCUAAACAACCCUUUAAGAUAAAUUAUAGUGUUAUCUCAAAAUAUAUAAUAUAUUUCAUAAACUGUUAAAACUGCAUAUUUUGUAUAUUAGUUAAAAGAUGCUAAACGACAAUUUCACCUAUCUCAAACCAUUUCCAUCGAUCUUCAAUCCCAUCCUCAAGUACCGGUUUAGGAUUAACAAGUAGCAAUGGAGCUAGUUUGAGAAUAGCACUCAAGCAUUCAUUGAAAGCUUGACUUACGCUCCAUCCCGAUCUAAUAUAAUCAAACCUUGAUGGAUCUAUUUUUCUCAUGAUGAGCCAAAGAUAUUUUAAAAAACAUUGCUAAUUUUCGCUGCUUGACAUACUUUUACUAUUCAGUCAGACCUCCAAUAUCCUUAGUUAAGAGAACUAAAGUGUGAAAGGCAUUUCUAUCCAUUCUUAACUUAUCGAUACAUACACUACCAUUAUCAUUUAUGAUAUAGUGUAAGUGAGAAAAUGAUUUUCGGAACUCGAACACUCAUACGAUACCUAACUUCACGUCUGUUUUGACAUCGUCUUCUUAGAGAAUGACCAUAACUAGCCAUGAAAAGACAAAUAAGGAGAACAAGAACUUGUUGAAACAAUAUCUCCACAAGAAUAAUAUAUUCAAUACCUGAUAAUGGUUGAAGAUCCAUAAUAACACCUAUAUUUGCGAUAAAAAUAAGAAUGAACACAUAUAAAGCUUUUAAAUAAGUAGCUAUGUGCAUAAAUUUAUAAUUUUCGACCAUAUAAAGAGUGAAAUAGAUGAACUCAAAGCAUAUUAAAAUACAAGCUAAACCUAAAUAUCAUCAUCAGAUCUAUUAACUUUAGACGAUUGACUUUUUCACAACUAUUUGCUAACUUAAAAUUAACGAAACACUUUGAUUGCAUUCCAAAAUGGUUGGCAAACUCUAAAUCGUUGAUUUGGAUAGAGAAAGAAUUAUACCCAAAUUGUGAAAUAGAGGUAGAAAAAUCAAAUAAUAAUGAAACAUAAGAGUACUAACCUUUUGGAGAUGAGCAAAUAAUGUUUGAUUGAGCAGAAGGAAGAAGAAACUCAACCUUGACUUUCCAUUAACAAAGUACAGAGUAGAUGAAAAGUUUCUAAAACAAGUACAAUGGAAAAUGUUUUUUUAAAAGGCAUUGAGGGUAGUUUUGUAAUUAUAUAAUAUAAUGCCAGUGUUAAAGGGCUAUGUAUUACUAAUACCUAGAAUUUCUUGGUAUUAGUAAUUACACAACACAAUAUAGUGUAUAACUAAUGCUUGCAUUAGUUAUACAUGACAUAAAAGGUGUACCAAACAAGGUAUUACUAAUACACACACCUAAUACAUGCAUUAUUUUUCCUAAUACACUCUACCAAACUAAGGAUGUAACCCUAGAUUGUUAUUUUACUGAUAGAAAGUAGAUGUAGGGCGUGAGGACGAACUCAGUCUAUCAGUAUGAUAACCUUACAUACUUGGAAGAACAAAGUUCAUAGCGAAAUCAACGAAGCUCGAAGAACACUUGAAACCCUAACUUUUCUCCUCUUGGAACAUUGCUCUAAAGACUUGAAGUGUUAAUGAACGUAAAAUAACUGAUUAACACUUUAUAACCCUUAAUUAGGUGUAAAAACGUCAUGGUUUAGUCUUAGAAGGGUUGGGAAAGACUAGACUACCACUCUUAAAAACUGACAAAAACUUCUACAGGUCCAUCUAUGGUUCGUGAUUUGUUUUAUGGAUAGUAGAUCCCAUUCGUGGAAUAUAUUAAAUUUUACGACUCAUAAUCUCAUUCAAGGGGUCCAAUCUAUGGCCCUUAGAAGUUUCUACGGACCGUAGAUCUAAUCCGUAGAACUUAUACAAUUUUCAGGCUCAAAAGUCCAUUAUAAGGUCCAAACUAUGACCCGUAGAAGUUCCUACGGCUCAUAGAAUGGAUCCGUAGGAGUUGGACCCUAAAAAUCAGAUUCUUUGAAGUUUUUGACGAGUUGACAGUAUGGGUCGCCGAAAUUUCUACGGCUCGUAGAAACAAGUCGUAGGAGUUGACCUCAGGCAACUUUGAUGUUAUAGUCUUUGGCAAAACAAGAGUAACCUUUUACUUCAAACUCAAUAUGAGGCAAAUUUGGUGGUGGUGAAAAGAGGACUUGAGGACCUUUAAUUUAGUAGGGCAUAGGCCACAUAAUUCGUUAUGUUGUGAGAGAUAUGAUCGUUUGAAGUGGACCUAAGUAGAAUUUUAUGUCAAAAUCUAAUCGGUAAUGAAGCUUUCAACUCGAUUUUGUGAUAGGGAAUUCUCGUGACCUUAAUUCAUAUUCUAAUCCAUUCCCACACUAAAGAAUUGGCAUUAACACCUAAGAAUAACUUAAGAAUCACCCAAUACGAACUUAAAUGCAAAUGAAGAAUGGCUCAGGCAUUAGGUUAGAAAUUUUUGGGGUGUUACAAUAUCUCCCGCUUGGAAUCAUUCGUCCUUGAAGGAUAGAUGAAUUGAGCAUGGAAAGGGUAGGGAAAUGUUUUACAACCUAAUUUAAUGAAAAAUCCACAUAAAACUCAUGAACUCAAAACAUUGAAGGAGGGACUGAAUUGAAUGUGUACUUUAGAAAGAGUUAAUACCUUGGACUAGAACUAAAUCGAAGGAAAAAAGAAGAGGGUAUCUAGUCUUCAUAUCCUCCUUAACUUCCCAAGUUGCCUCCUCAACAAACUGAUUUCUCCAUAAGACAUUGACUGAUGCAACCUUUUUGGUUCACAACUUGCAAACCUAACGAUCAAGAAUCUUAACGGGAAUCUCCUCAUAAGAUAGGUUGUCAUUAAUACCAAUAUUCUAGGUAGGAACAAUAAAUGAAGGAUCGCCCAAACACUUCUUUAGCAUAGAGAUGUGUAAUACUGGAUGGACUACUGCUAACUCUGAUGGUAGCUCCAACUCAUAAGCUACAUUACCAACUCUCUUGGAUAUUCUGUAAGGAUCAAUGUAUCAUAGAUUGAGCUUUCCUUUCUUACCAAAUCUCAUAACAACUUUCAUAGGUGAGACCUUCAGAUAUACCCAAUCAUCAACCUCAAACUCCAUAUAUCUUCAUCUAAUUUCUGUAUAGGAUUUCUAACGACUCUGUGCUGUUCUCAACCUCUCUUAAAUUAUUUUCACAUUCUCUAUGGAUUGAUAAACUACGUCUUGUCCUACCAACUCAGCUCCACCAACCACAAACCAACCAAUAGGAGAUCUACACCUUCGCCUAUAAAGAUCUUCAUAAGAGCCAUCUGGAUACUGGAGUGAUAACUAUUAUUGUAAGCAAACUCUAUGAGAGACAAGUGAUCAUCCCAAUUACCUUUGAAAUUCAUGACACAUGCUCUCAACAUAUCCUCUAGGGUCUGAAUUAUGUCUUCUGCUUGGCCAUCCGUCUGAGGUUGAAAAGCAGUACUAAGGUUUACCUUCGAACUCAAACAUUUCUAAAAUGACUUCCAAAAUUGAGCGAUGAAUUGCACACCCUUAUCCUAAAUGAUGGACAAAGGGACACCAUGAAUUCAAAAUAUCUCACGGGUGUAAAAACUCACAUAAUCUUAUGUUGAAUUGGUAUAUUCACCAAUAAGAAAUGGGUUGAUUUAGUCAUUUGAUCUAUAAUCACCCAAAUCGAAUUAUGUUGCCUGCGAGAUCGGGGCAAGCCAGAUUUGAAGUCUAUAUUAAUCAUAUCUUAUUUCCAUUCUGGAAGAGCUAUGUUCUGAGUCACACCCCAUGGCCUUUGGUGUUCCACCUUGACUUGCUGGCAAUUUGGGCACUUCACAACAAAAUCUGCAAUAAACCUCUUCAUACUAUUCCACUAAUAGACUUCUCUCAUGUCAUGACACAUCUAUGUGGAACCCGGACGGAUCAAAUAUCUGGAACUUUGAAUUUCUUUCAUGAUCCUUUCUUGGAGCUCAUCCACCUUUGGAACACACAAUUUACCUUGAUAUCUCAACACAACAUCUCUGUCUUGUUCAAAAGCAAUCACCUUCUUCUUAUGAGCAUUUGCAUUUAAUUCAAGUAAGAUGGGGUCUUUGUCUUGCUUCUUCUAAUUCACUUCAGGAACUAAUGACGAUUCAACCUCAUUAAUCACAACAAAUCCACCUUCACUGGAAUCUAACAAACAGACUCCCAAAUGUGCAAGUCUGUGAACUUCCUUAGCCAAUUUUUUCUUGCCUUCCUCGACAUGAGCAGUACUCACCAUGGACAACCUACUCAUAGCAUCAACAACAACAUUAGCCUUACCUAUGUGAUAGAGGAUACUCAUGUCAUAAUCCUUGAACAACUCUAACCACCUCCUUUACCUGAGAUUAAGUUCCUUCUGACUAAAAACAUACUGGAGAUUCUUGUGCUCGCUGAAAAUAUCUACAUGAAUGUAACACCCCAGAAAUUCUAUGACUUAAGAUAGAGCCUCACCUUAUGAAUAAUGACUUAAAAAUAGUUAAAAUGAUGUUUCUAAACCUAAAUUAAUGCAAUUGACUCGGUUUGGAAGAGAAAUAGUCUAAAUGUCAAGAAACGACCACGACGUCCGGAAACUAGAGAAGAAUGUGUUCUAGUGUGUCCUUAGGUUUUGGGCAGGUUUGGGAGUGUCGUAUGAUGGUAUAAUAUUGUAAAAAAAUUUAAAUUAGGUAAAUAUAUAUUUAUAGGGUCAAAACGUUCGAAUACGACGCCCCCAAGAAGGACCCCAACCUUGGCGAAGCAAGCUGCCAAGGCAGCUAGCAGAUUGCACUUGGAGGGAAUAGCUCCGCGUUGCGGACUAGCUCCCCCAAGGAGAAAAAAGUUAGUUCACAACGUGGUCGUGUCGCGGAUUCUAUUGUCUCAAAAUUGAAUUCCAAUUAUCUUCAGGGAACAGCUCCGCGUUGCGGACUUGUUCCGUGACGAAAAUGCAGAAAUUCAGAAAUCGAUUUUUAGUUCAUUAAAGAGUCCAACUAAGUGAGGGGUAUUUAGGGUACUUUAGGGGACGUGUAUUUAAUGAUUUUUAAGUCAAUUUAACUCACUUUUAUCACUCAAAUACAAAACUCGAAAGAUCAAACCUAAAGUUCCUCCUUCUCUCUACUCUCUCUCUUCCCAAUAACUCCAUUGAAGAAGAUUGGAGCUUCAAGAAGAAGACCAACUCUACCAAGGUUUCAACUUAGAUUUUCGUGGUUAAUUCGUCAAUAAGGUAUGGUUUCUUAUCACUCUUGGGAUUCCUUUCCCCAAGAGUCCCCCUUCAAGAUGAAUUUCAAAAUCUCCAAUUUCUAGGUUUCAAUCCAAAAACGUGGGUCUUCUUUCUAAAGUGAAAUUGAUGUUAUAAACUGACUUUGAUUGAUGUUAUAUGAACAAUUAUGGAUGAAUUUAUAUUAUAUUGGCGGUUUCUUGAAGAAUUCCCCAUGAGAUCCAUGUUUCUCCUUCUUUUCCUAAUUCUAACCCUAGUUUGUGUUGGAUAUUGAUUGAAGGCUAUGAAUUGAAUGUGAUGUUAUGUAAUUCAUGCUUGUAUGAUGAUUCUACCCUAGGUUAUGUAUAAUUUCUAUGAAAUUUGGGUUGAGUCUUUGAAUGAAGCCUUGAAGACUAUGAAGGGAAUAUGUCAAUUGCUUAUAUUGAUGUGGAUUAUGUUAUUACUUCAUGAAUUACCUUGUAUUAUAUAUUGGUCAUGAAUUUCUUGGUAAUUGAAGUAUGGAUGUCCCACGAAGGGCAAGAAGGUAUGAAGGUUGGUUCUUCUUUGAACUCAAGUAUGAAAGGUGAAUUACUUAGAUUGUAAUAAUGUUAUACCUAAUGUGUUGUUGUGGUGUUGAUGACCUAGUUUCCUCAUCCUUAACCCUCUACACUUGAAUUAGCUAUGAAGUAUGUAUGUAUGUUAUGGUAUGAUUGUUAUAUGAUUGAAAGGUAGUUCUCAUGAUUAUAGUGUANNNNNNNNNNNNNNNNNNNNNNNNNNNNNNNNNNNNNNNNNNNNNNNNNNNNNNNNNNNNNNNNNNNNNNNNNNNNNNNNNNNNNNNNNNNNNNNNNNNNNNNNNNNNNNNNNNNNNNNNNNNNNNNNNNNNNNNNNNNNNNNNNNNNNNNNNNNNNNNNNNNNNNNNNNNNNNNNNNNNNNNNNNNNNNNNNNNNNNNNNNNNNNNNNNNNNNNNNNNNNNNNNNNNNNNNNNNNNNNNNNNNNNNNNNNNNNNNNNNNNNNNNNNNNNNNNNNNNNNNNNNNNNNNNNNNNNNNNNNNNNNNNNNNNNNNNNNNNNNNNNNNNNNNNNNNNNNNNNNNNNNNNNNNNNNNNNNNNNNNNNNNNNNNNNNNNNNNNNNNNNNNNNNNNNNNNNNNNNNNNNNNNNNNNNNNNNNNNNNNNNNNNNNNNNNNNNNNNNNNNNNNNNNNNNNNNNNNNNNNNNNNNNNNNNNNNNNNNNNNNNNNNNNNNNNNNNNNNNNNNNNNNNNNNNNNNNNNNNNNNNNNNNNNNNNNNNNNNNNNNNNNNNNNNNNNNNNNNNNNNNNNNNNNNNNNNNNNNNNNNNNNNNNNNNNNNNNNNNNNNNNNNNNNNNNNNNNNNNNNNNNNNNNNNNNNNNNNNNNNNNNNNNNNNNNNNNNNNNNNNNNNNNNNNNNNNNNNNNNNNNNNNNNNNNNNNNNNNNNNNNNNNNNNNNNNNNNNNNNNNNNNNNNNNNNNNNNNNNNNNNNNNNNNNNNNNNNNNNNNNNNNNNNNNNNNNNNNNNNNNNNNNNNNNNNNNNNNNNNNNNNNNNNNNNNNNNNNNNNNNNNNNNNNNNNNNNNNNNNNNNNNNNNNNNNNNNNNNNNNNNNNNNNNNNNNNNNNNNNNNNNNNNNNNNNNNNNNNNNNNNNNNNNNNNNNNNNNNNNNNNNNNNNNNNNNNNNNNNNNNNNNNNNNNNNNNNNNNNNNNNNNNNNNNNNNNNNNNNNNNNNNNNNNNNNNNNNNNNNNNNNNNNNNNNNNNNNNNNNNNNNNNNNNNNNNNNNNNNNNNNNNNNNNNNNNNNNNNNNNNNNNNNNNNNNNNNNNNNNNNNNNNNNNNNNNNNNNNNNNNNNNNNNNNNNNCCCAAGUUGGUGAGUCCUCAAGUCCGAGGACAAGACCCUAUGAUCUAGCUUCUAUGUUUAGUUCUUUGCUUAUGUUGAAAGACAUUGUUGUACUUUCCUAUUUCAAGAUUUCUUAUUGAUGUAAGGGCUAAGUCCCAUUUUUGAUACUUCUAUGUCUAGAUGGUACAUUCUGACGAAGUUAGAUUCUAUUUUUCAUAUGUGAAGUGAAGUGGAACUUCCAAAGUAAAAGUUUUAAAUUUUCCGUGAUUUUAUUCUAUGAUACAUGUUAUGACGAAUGCUAAGGGCUUGUAUAAGACCUCUUCGAGGUCGAAUACGCCGGUAACGACUAAGGGGUGCUCUCGGGUCGUUACAAUGAAUGCGAUAGAGAUAGUGACACCAUAUCUUGAGAGCAAAAACUAUUGCUGCCAACUUGAUAUUAGUAGUCGGGAAGUUCCUCUCGUGAAUCUUAAGCUGCCUGGAGGAAUAUUCUAUAACCUUACCAUUCUUCAUCAACAAUCAACCACGCCCCACUCUAGAUGCAACACAAUAGUUGACAAAAUCCUCUAUACCCUCUGGUAUGGUCAACACUGGAGCCGUAGUUAACCAGGUUUUCAAUUCAUGAAUUCUUUGCUCAUAAGCUUCAAACCAUUAAAACUAAGUGGUUUUCCGAGUCAACUUAGUCAAUAGAGAUAAAAUAAAUGAAAACCUCUCGACAAACCUUCGGUAGUAACCACCCUACCCCAAAAAACUCCCUAUAUCAGUUGGGGAUGUGGGUCUGAGCCAAUUCUAUGCUGCCUCAAUCUUCUGAGUGUCGACUUGAAUUUCUUUCCUAUACAUGAUGUGGCCUAAGAACUCCAUGGAUUCUAGCUAGAACUUACACUUAGAAAACUUGGCAUAUAACUUUCGAUUUUUGAUGAAUAUAAUAAUAAACAUAUCCAGAUACUACUUAUAUACUCUGUUCAUGUUGCCAGAGCGUUAGUCAAACCAAAUGACAUAACAAGGAACUCAUAAUAACCAUAAUAGGUCAUGAAAUAUGUCUUCGGGAUGUCACUUUCUCUCACUUUCAACUGAUUACAGCCAGAUCUGAGGUCUAUCUUAGAGAAGCAAGUAACACCCUGAAGUUGGUCAAAAAGGUCAUCAAUUCUAGGAAGGAGAUACUUAUUCUUUAUGGUGAACUUGUUCAACUAGUGGUAAUUGAUACAAAUCCUAGGGGAACCAUCUUUCUUUCUCACAAAUAAGACUUGAGCUCCCCAAGGUGAGACAUUUGGUCGGACAAAACCAUUAUCAAGAAGAUCUCUUUUAACUCAGCUGGAGCCAUUCUAUAUGGCAGAAUAGAAAUGUGUUGAGUAUCCCAAAGAAUAUCUAUUCGUAAGUCUAUUUCUUUCUCAGGAUGGACUCCGAGAAGUUCGUUUGGAAAGACCUUUGGAAACUCACUCAUAACGAGAACUGACUGAUAGACGGUGUCUCAACACUAGAGUCAUUAAAUCGGACUAAGUGAUACAUUCAUCCCUUAGAAACUAACUUUUUGGCCUUAAGGUAUGAAAUAAAAUGACCCUUAGACACUAUUGAACUACUCCUCCACUCUAAAAGUGGCUCGUUAAGAAACCAAAACUUGACUGCUUGAGUUCUACAAUUGACUGUAGCAUAAUAAACAUGAAGCUAGUCCAUACCUAGAAUAACAUUAGAGUCCACAAUGUCUAGCUCAACUAAGUCAUCCAUGGUGUCUUUGUGAUAGACAAAUAUGGUACAAUUACGAUAGACUCUUUUUGCUAGAACAGACUCACCAAUAGUUGUGGAAACACUAUAGGGCUCAAGAAGUUGUUUAGGGGAAUGCCAAACCUCAUGGCUACAUGAAAAGUCAUAAAAGACAAACUCACACCUGGAUCAAGUAAGGCAUAAACAUCAAUAGAAAACUCUUUAAGCAUACCAGUGAAAACAUUUGGCGAGUUCUCCUGAUCUUGGUGACUAGCCAUAGCAUACAGACGGAUUGAUGCUCCACCUGUCCCUAAAGUAGCUCCUCUCUAAGCAAUCUUAUCUGUUGGAGCAGCUGAAUACGAUUGGGCUCUAUUGUCCCUAUUACCCUGCCUGUUUUUAGGGCACUCUCUCAUAAAAUGACCUGUCUGACCACAGUUGAAGCAACCAUUGGAGCCAUCACGACAUUCUCUAGGGUGGUUUCUACCACACUAAGUGCAAGUGGGAGUCCAGUUACCCUGUCACUCCCCGAGCCUACACCCUGGGAGGGACUGGAACUCGAGAACCAUUGUUGUCCCCAAGCGAACCCUUGGUCUGACUUAACUUAUAACGGAAGACUUAAUAACAAGAAAACAGUCUCAAGAUAUAACUCAUGCAAUAACUUAAAGAGAUAUUAGACUAGCCAAAAAGGCAACUCUAGUCUUAACAUAUAAAACUAAAAACGAAAAGACUAAUGAACUAUAACUACUCAUCUAGGAAGCCUCUAAAACAAUGAGGGAUGUCGGGACAAGACCCCCGAUCAUCCUAACAACUGAAAUACUAAAACAAGAUAAUAAGGGAUCCUCCGGAAAGCAAGGACGCUCACCAACUGACUCUGAGUGCUUAACUGGAUCAACGAGGCACUGGAUGCUGAUCAUGGUUACCUGUAUCAGCAUCAUUAAAAGAUGCAGGCCAAAAGGCAUCAAUACAUUGAAUGUACGAGCAUGAGAGGGGAAAACUAAACUUGACAUAAGCUUGAAAGGAAUCUGAAAAGAACACUUAACUUAGCUUUACUCAACUCAUGAAUAUAUACUCAACUCAAAUGCAAAGUAAAAACAAUAAUAAAGGUGCAAUUUAUACAAAGCAUUUAAAACAAUAAGUGAUAACUGAUGAGUCCACAAAUUGGACUAAUUUAGGGCUUUAUUUUGAUAGAAAUAGUGUCCUCGAAUGCUUAUUUUGUCUCAAUAUCUGAUAAAAACUCUUAAGUUUCAGGUGUUUGAAGUUUUAGUGGAAGCAUGGAUACUUAGGCGCAAAAAGGAACAAAGAGGUUGAAAAGAACGAAGAAGUUGAAGCAUGAGCAUCGCCAAGAACCUUUGGCGAUUCACCGAAAGGACAGACUCUGCCCUUUGUUCCAGUAUGCGAAGUCCUGAAGGAAAAGGAUCAAAAAGGCGAUGAAAAAAGCAGUCGGCGCUUCACCGAAUAGUUCCACGAAGCAGUACUAUACUGCCCAAUGGUCCAGAACGUGAAGAUAUUGUAGGCAAGCACUCAACGGCGAUGAGACAGAAAAAGGGCGAGUCACCAAGUCAUUUGGCGGACUCGACUAACCUCGCAGAACUAUCCGCCUGCACUAAUUUCUGAUAGCUAUAAAUACUAAACUCUUUAUUAAUUUUACAAGUUCCAAACCAUUAUUAUUAUUUUCAGAAUAGAAUAGUAAUGUUUUUUAGAUAUUUUCUCUCAAGUUUAGAGAGGGUUUUUGUGGGAGACUUGAAGAGAGAAGUAUUUCAUCUUCCCCAAGUUGGAAGUGGGUCUUCUCCAUCCUUCUUCCUUUGCUUAAAUCAAGGUUUAAUUUCUUAUACCCAUUUAAUUUUAGUAGCAUUUUAGAUGUAUUUUGUUAUUUCUGAUGUAUGGCUAAAACCCCCCAUUCUUGGGGUGUGAUUUAGCAAUUAUGUGUUGAUAUUGUUGUUGGGUUUUGCUUGGUGAUAAGGUAGAUGUAUUUUAAUGAUGAUUUCACCUAGUGGUUGUGGUUUAAUUUAAGGGGUUUGUAGUUGCAAAUACAAAACCACCCAUGUGUUUUCAGCUUGCCCGAGAGGGAGGUCAUGAAACCAAGACCACGAGACUGAUGGCCUAAGGAAUGGGUCGACAUGAGGUUCAGCCCGAGAGGGUGAGCCCUAUUCCCAUAUCCUAACACUCAGCUCGAGAGAGUGAGUGGGGUAAGGCGUAGGCUGGUCUUCAUGCGGCAAAUGGGUGUCCGAGAGGAACCCAUUUGAAACGGGGUAAGUUGCCCGAGAAGGAAUUUAUUUCCAUCUAAAGCUUAGCCUAGUCACUAUUAUCUUGCAAAUUUCCUAUUGAAAACAUGUACCCAACGAUUUAUCUCAACUUGUAUUGCGGUCACACCCCAAGAACAUUUCCCCAUACUUGAUUUUCUUGUUAAUUUUUGCUAUUUUUACUACUUGUGACAAAACCCCCAAUUGAUAUUUGACACUUUCGUGUCACCCCCUUUAAUUUACCAUGUUUUUGUUCGUUAAUGUCAUUGAAUCAUGAUUGGCGCGUGGGUGAACUAACCCAACGCUAUGUGAUCUCACAUACCUUGUAGGAUUGAAUCCUUCGCGAAAUCCACAACCAAAAUUGCACGAUCUUGACGAAUCUUGAACUUUUCAUCUUCUUUCUCCUCUUUUCUCUUUUCUCCAAUCCCUAGCGUGUUUUGGUAAAUGCGUAAACUGAUCUAAUUCAGAUUAGACCCCAAUUAAACUCCUAAAAACGAAAUAAAAUAAUUGGGUGGUGAAAAGACCACAAUACCCUUCUAAAAUCCGGAUUAGACUUUCCUUAUCUAAACAAUCCAACUUCAAAUGGGAAUAUCACCCUCAUACAAACUUGGAAUCGCGCAAACUCAGAGGUAUUGGAAAGAUAAUUCAAAGAUAUUUCCUACGAUAUCAUGUAGAACACCUAUCUCAUCUUGAUCUAGGAGUUAUGGUCGUUUGAAGUUGACCAAAAACUCAAACUUCACUUAAUUUUGUCAAAUUUCCAGAUUUUUCAUUCUUUCCAAAAAUGACUCUUUCUAAUUCUAGAUCUUUCUAGUUCUUUCAAGUAGCGAGGUUUUACAACCCCUUACGCCACACUACCUUGAGAUUGAGUACCUCGAGCUCUGAAAUUUUGGGAACUAUGAUUCCUGCGAUCAUUUCUUUUUCUUGGUGUAGGUGCACUAGCUGAUGAUAGGACAUGUCUAGAUGACUUUUGUUGAAAACGUGACUUAUUCCCAUUUCAGUCUUCUGCUUGCCAGUUCAUGACUUGUUGUCUUGUCUCUCUUAUUGUGAAACUCUUCUAUAUCCUUUAACUUAUCUUCCUCAACCUGCUGCAUAUGAAUCAUGAGGCUGGCUAUGUCCAUGUCCCUUAUCAACAUAGCCACCUUACCUUCCUUACUCGAUAAGCAGGAUAGCCUAGAUACAAUUAAACUCAUCCUGCUCCUCAUAUCCGCCACCAUCUCUGGAGCAUAGCGGGAUAGUUGAGUAAACUUGAGGUUGUAGUCCUACACACUCAUAACUUCAUGUUUCAGAUUCAAGAACUCUCUUACCUUAACUUCCCUAAGCUCUCAGAGAAAGAAGAGCCUCUAGAAAACAUUCUCAAACAUAGCCCAACUCAAAAGUGUUUCCCCCUCUGCCCUGUUCUUCUUCCACUGAUCAUACCAUAUCCAAACAACACCUUUGAGCAUCAAUAACACGCAUGGCCACAAAUACUUUAUGAAGUUCUUCCACAAAGUUCUCUGGAUCCUCAGUGAUCUAUAUAGGUGUAAGUUGUGUUUUUUUACUCUUUAUCUAUCGGGGUUUUCCACGAUAAUGAAUCGUGUCAUUAAUUUAGUUGUUUUACUUAACACAUUGUCAGUACUCGACAAAGGAACAUAUAUAAUAACAUGUUCUUUAGGAAAAUCGGGGGUCAGUAAUCUAAUGGUUAGUUUACCAUUUCACCCCAUGCAAUAAAUCAAAAUCUAAUUGUAUAGUAAUAUUUUAAUUACAUAAAGGGUGAAUUAGAAGUUCAGCAAUAGUACUUUAAUUUUUACACUCAAUUCACCAAAAUGUGUCCAUCCUUAUUUACUCAUUAACCAACAUUCUCUUCUUUGCCAUAUUAUUUUUUGAAGAUUUUGAGAAGUUGUAUCAACUAAAUACUCAAUACAAGAUCACGAUCAUCUAUAAACCAAAUACUGUGAAUAUAAUAGGAAAUUAAGGGGUAAAAAAUUGGGUAGAAAGGAAAGAGAAAAUGCCACGAAUACUCUGAACUGGCUUAUGGAGGCUAGCACAAUGGGAGGAUAUAUUUUGGUGGACAUAAUGUUGUUCUCAUCCUCAUUUUUUUGAAGCCGGUAAAUACAUUUUUAGGUAAGAAUUUUUUUUCUCUCUUCUUUAAAGAAGCCUUUUCACUAUAUUCGUCGUUUGUGAAAUGCUUUCUUCCGUGUUUAGUAUGGCAUUAAACUCUUAAAAAAGUAGAAAUUUGAUGGUUUUACUAUAUACACACACUCACAGAAAAUUGGUGAAAGGUGUAGUAGACCACAUCAACUUAUUUCCAAAUCCGGAUCUAUCUUCGAUGAAAACUCAUCUUUGUACAUUUUUGAGCAAUUAAUAAUUCAAACAAAUGCUUUUGAAACAUGUAUAUUGUUAAAGAUUUUUUUUUUAUUUUUUUUAAUUAAAUAGUGGAUCUUGUAGCUCCUUUUAUUCAUUUCAAAUAAAUUUGUUCAAAACAAGACCAAUCCAAAAAUUGGAUAAGCCCAAAACAACGAGAAUUUUUUUAGCCCAGUCCAUUAAACGGAACUACCAUCUUCUAUAUCAAAACCCUAGACAAUAGGGUUUCCGAAUUUGAGAUCCUUUUCUUUCUACCCAUACCGCCGCUUGGAGCUGUCAGGAAUCCACCCUUCCUCUUGUUUUUGUUGUAGAUCAUCAACACCUUUCUCUUGUUUUCCAUGUUAACCCUCUUUCUCAACUCCUAGAGGUAAGAUUGUUUUAUUUGGUCUUUUCAUUCUCUAUUUGUUUUCUAACUUCCUCCUUUUCUCUUGUAGAUACAUAAUCCGGUGGAACAGUGGAUCCCAGAAGUGAUUUCGGUAGAGGCGUCUAGUCUUGUGGUUGAGCUCACAACUCUUUGUAAGUGGCCUUCUUCUUUCUCUACCUCUUUUCCCAGUUUCCUUCCUCUCUAAUUUCCUUUUCAAGCUGAAGAAUAAAUGGAGAUAUACAAACGCUCCUGACCUCCUUCAUUGUGGAUUUCCUUCCUAAGCAAGAUUUGUAACUCCCGAUCCGACCCCAAGACCCUCGCUUUUUGCUGGAGAAACUUUAUGUAAGUUGUCGUAGUCUAGACUAGGUAGUUUAAUGGUCAUAACUAUGUAUGCCUAUAAUGUCAAAAACAUUUUUUGUAAAUAUAAUAGUUGUGAGGUUUGUUAUUGAAAAUGAUUUUGAAGUAAUGUAUGCUUAAGUUUAUAGGUCUUGAAAUGUGAUCUUUCUUGCCUUGAUCCUUAGUAUUGGAAUGUUUGACUUAUCUGUGUUCAAAUCCUUUGCACUCCACUGAUAGUUGCUGAAAAUUAUGUCAUUGUCUAAUCUUUUCUUCACUUGCAAAGGAAGUGGCCGUUAACUUGGCGUAGCUCUCUUGGCUCCACUCUCAUAAAACCUGGUCUGCAUUGGUGAUAAAUCUCUAUCCCUUGCCGCUCUGUCUAUAUUUACUUCAAUUUCUUUAUCCUCCUCCCUCUCUCUCUCUCCUCUGUUUCUCCGUAUCAUUGAUCUCCUCUAAAUCAGAAAUGCUAUUGAUCUGAUUACCAUUUGUUUCCCCACAUUUGGAACAUGAUUCCUCUUCCCCUUCAUUUUGUCCCCCUAUUACCUUGUCUUUUUCUAUAGAAUUCAAUUCCUCUUGACUAGCAUUGUUCUCUCUCUAACUACUUACUCUUUGCCCUUACUUCUUCCACCUCUUUAUUCUUUGACCCACACCCUCUCAAUGCUUUAUACAUAACAAAUAUCAUUGAUUAUCUUGAUAUCUCAUCAUCCCAGAGGAGAGACAGAGGAAUUGGUUCGAGGAGGGCACUUAUAAGUUUCAUCUUGAUCAUAAUAGACCCAAGUGUUUGACUAAUUGAAGAAAUAAGUCAAGAUAUGACUAAAUUCAGAAAGGAUUUUCCCAAGAAUGUGUCCCUUUGAGUUGUUUGGCUUGAUAAACCAGGUGUAGAUGAGGAUAAACUACCUUCAAUAGAUAUAGUCAUAGAAAAACCACUCCAUGGUUAUAAUUUGUAUCGUGCCCUCGGAGAUGUACUAGAGUUUAGUGAUAAAAUUUUACCAACCAUCUCACAAGAAAUGAAGUAAGAAACAAUUCAACAAGGUCCAAUGAGGGAGCUUGAGGUCCACAAGUCCAUAAAGGAUGUUUUUGUUGAGAACAUACUUUCAAGAGGAAACAAAAUCUUGUUGAUUGAGGAUGAGACUUAUGAUUUCCAAAAAAAAAACGGUUUCUAAGUAGCUUGGUGCAACAAAACCUUAGAAACCAUUUGGGCACACCAAGGUGCUUAGAAACCAUUUUUUUUGAAAAUUUAAGUAACGUCGGAUCAUCCUCAAUCAACAGGAUUUUCUUUCCUCUUAAAGGUAAGUUCUCCACAAAAACAUCCUUUUGUGGACCUCAUUAGAGCUUAUUGAAUUGUUUCUUCCUUCAUUUAUUGUGUGAUGGUUAGUAAAAUUUUAUCUAUAAGCUCAGGUACAUCUAUGAGGGAACGAUACAAAUUUUAACCAUGGAGUUUUUUGCUAUAACUAUAUGUAACACCCCAAAAUUUUUUAAGCUAAGACCCGAACCAUUCUUCAUUUGUGUAUAAGGCCUUAUCGGAUGAUUCUUAAAUUGUUCCUAGGUUAUAAGGUCAAUUAUUUAGUGUGGAUAUGUAUUUGGAUAUGAAUUAAGGUUACAAGAAGCUCCUAACACAAAUUUGAGUUGAAAGCUUCCUUACCGAUUAAAUUUUGAUAUAAGAUUAUACUUGGGUCAACUUCAAACAAUCAUAUCUCUUAACAUAUAAAGAAUUAUGUGUCCCAUGACCUAUCAAAUUAAAGUUUUAUGAGUCCUCUUUCCAAUGCCACCAAGUUUGCCUCAAUCCAAGUUCUAAGUAAACAUUUAUAACUGAUUCAUUAGAGGUGCUCUAACCUGGCAGCAGCUCCGCGAUACGGAGCGAAUACAGACCUCACUUUCUGCUGGAAUAAAAUCCCGGAUUCCAGCUCUUUUUAUUUAUAUUUUAAGGAUAUCUUUCUUCUAAAAACCCUUAGGGAGUCAAAUAAAUUGCCCUAAAUGUGUAGAAAAUUAGUUUUCACAAUCAAACCAUCUCAUUCACUUCUAAACUCCUACGCUCUAGAACUUCAAGAAACACUAAGGCUAGGGUUCAUCUUCCAAGAUUUUCCUUCAUGUUUCUUCAAGAACUUUAUUAUUUGCAUUUCACUCCUUCCGCAUCUCCUAUAUUAACUAAAACUCCUUCCGCUAUUGACUUCUAUUUGAAAGUUAGUUGAAGUUGUUACAAAAACUCAUAGAAUUCAUAACUGAACCACUAAACGAAUUUUUAAAGAAAGAAGUAAUGCAGAAGAAUUGUGCAAGCAAAUUCAUUCGUGUGCUUUUCUGCAACAAAAACACAUCUAUAUCUAUGUAUACUAGAAACAUAGACUAACCUGAAAUUGAUCCAUAUUCUUAUAUAAGGAAUAAAAAUAAACAUCAAAAUUCGUGCACUAAAUAGAGUAAAUAGAGAUUGGAUGGAGAAAUGUUGUGUAUACUUGACAAAGAUUAGGUCCAAAAGCCCAUGAAACCUUCUUAGAUUUCUUCACACCCAUGAUGAAAUUGCUUAAUCAAAUACUCAAUUUAUUUAACAACACUCAAAAUUCGCCUUCAAAUGAUCGAUUUGUCAAUGCAAGUCAGAAUGUUGUUUCCCCAAAAAGGUUGAGAAUAGAAGCAAAGAUUGGAGUUAUCAAUAGAACAGAAGGCAGAAACCCUAGAAUUUUCAUUUUCUAAGUGAAGUAAAUGAAAGUUGAAGAGGGUGCACCAUUGUGGGAGUGAGUGAAGUACUCUAUGUUUGUAUUUUGUCUUUCCAACAGUUGACAAAAUACAACUAUAGAGUACAUCACUCACUCUCGCAGCGGUGCACCCUCUGGAACUUUCAUUUGCUUCACUCACAAAACGAAAACUCUAGGGUUGUGAUAACUCCAAUCUUUUCUUCUACUCUCAGCUUUUUGGGGAAGCAACAUUCUGAUUCAGACUUGCACUACAAAACCGAUCAUCUGAAGGCGAAUUUUGAGUGUUGUUAACUAAAUUGAGUAUCUGAUUAAGCGAUUUCAUCAUGGAUUUGAAGAAAUCUAAGAAGGUUUCAUGGGCUUCUGGACCUAAUAUUUUUCAAGUAUAGAUAACAUUUCUCCAUCCAGUCUCUAUUUACUCUGUUUAGUGCACAAUUUUUGAUGUUUAUUUUUAUUCCUUAUAUAAGACUAUGGUCAAUUUCAGGUUAGUCUUUGUUUCUAGUAUACAUAGAUAUAGAUGUGUUUUUGUUGCAGAAAAGCACACAAAUGAAUUUGCUUGCACAAUUCUUCUGCAUUGCUUCUUUCUAGGAGAAUGAGGCAUAUUUGUGGAGUGUGUAAGGGUUGUGGACUUGAGAGUGAAAUGAUUGAUCACAUGUUGUUUUGGGUGUCCUAGUGCUCAAUUAGUCUAAAAAAUUUACCCCAUUAAUUGGCCUAGUUUAGAAAAUACUAUGGAUUUUGGUUGAUGGUGGAAUGAUCUUUUUACUAAUGCUAAAAAAAUACUCUGAAUCUAUUGAGCUUAUAAAUUAAGUAUUUCUAUUAUGUGGCAAAUUUGGAAGGCUAGAAAUUCGAAGAGUUUCAAUGGAGAAAUUUCUGAUCCUAAUGAUAUUGUUAACAAAUCUCUUUUUGAUUUCCAUGAAUAUGAAAGUAAUUUGAUUCCUCCAUUUCCCCCUACAAUUAUACCUGCUUGUAGUGAUGAUAGAAAUAUAACUAUGGCACAAGAUGGUUUUGUUGUGUUUGCAGAUGCUAGUGUACAUAAGGAAAAGAACACGACAAGAAUCGGUGUGGUGGCUAUGGAUAGCUAUGGUAACUUGCUUCAAGCCUUUGGUACCCCAAUUCAAUAUGUUGGGAAAGCCAUUACUGCUGAAGCAAUUUCAAUUCGUAUGUCGCUAGAGAAUGCUAGAGAAAUGGGAUGGACAAAGGUGCAAAUCUUAUCAGAUGAAAAAAAUGUGGCAGAUAUGGUACUACGAAGAACUAUAGUUUCAUGGGAGAUAGAGACUACUUGUGAAGACAGUUGGAACCUUAUGAAGUGCUUUGAAGUGGUCAAUGUGACGCUGUAACACCCCGCAACUAGAACGAACUAGAAUUAAAAAGAAACCAUUUUUGGAAAUAAUCAAAUUUGGAAAGUUUGACAAAGUUAAGUUAAGUAUGAGUUUUGGGUCAAUUUCAAACGACCAUAAAUCCUAGAUCAGGAUGAUUUAGGUGUUCUACAAGAUACCGUAUGAAAUAUCUUUGAAUUAUCUUUCCAACACUGCCGAGUUUGUUCUGUUUCGAGUUCGUAUGAGUGAGAUAUGUCCAUUUGAGCUGGGCUGUCUAGAUAAGGAAAGUCAAAACCGGAUUUUAGGAGGGUAUUAUGGUCUUUUCACUACCCAAUUAAUUAAAUUCGUUUUUGGUAAUUAAGUUGGGGUCUCAACUGAUUGGAUUCAGCUUACGCUAUUGAAAAUAAGUUAGGGUUUUCAGAGAAGAGAAAAGAAGAGGAGAAAAGAGAAGAAUAAGUAAGGAAUCGCCAAGUUUUUGAAGAAUUGCUUGUGGAUUUCGCCAAGGGGUGAUCCCUACGAGGUAUGUGAGAUCACACAAUGUUGGGUUAGUUCACCCACGCGCCAAUCAUGAUUUUAUUCAGUGAAGUUAUGUUCUUGAAAGUAUAGAAAUUAAGUUCUUGAUGGAUUUGUUUGAAGUUUCUAUUGGGUUCUUGAUUGUUGAAGUUGUUGAGAAGUUCUUGAUGUAGAUUCAUGAAAUUAGAUGUCGUUUUGAGUAGAUUCUUGAAUAUUUUGAUUAUGUAGUCGAAUCUAAGUGUUUGGGGAAAGAUUCAAUCGAAUCUAGAGGGUUUAGAGUUGAAAAAUGACCAAGAGAAUUCGUAAAAAACUGGGGAAUAGAGGUGGGGCGCCGCACCACUCAGAGUGCCCCACAUCAGAGUCUAUAGUUAGGGCCCUAGGGCGCCGCGCCAGCCAGUGCACCCCAACCCAGACUCUGUAGUUUCAGAUCUGGCGCUCGGCGCCACUCAGAGCGCCAGGGACGCCAGGUUCUCUACCCUUUCCCACUUCUUUCCGUACAAGUUCCCUUGAAACGUACCUAUGUUUCCUAGUUGAUUUCUACACUCUAAGGUACGUCUAAAAAACAUGAAAUCAUCCAUAACAUGAGAUAAUGAGCCUUGAAUCCAUAAUUCAAUUCAAGGAAAGUUAGGAGUCAAGUCAAGAGAAGUUCAUAGAGUUUUCCAAGAAUCUUUUACAAAUGUUUUAACUUUGUUUUAAGACUUGAGUUUUGAGUUAAGUAAAGAGUAAAGAUUGAAGUUCAGUUCUUCAAAAGAGUAUAUCGGGACUAUGUAUUUCCAAAGAGUAAAAUGUUUUUACAUUUAAGUAAGAAAGGAAACUUUGAUUUCCAAAAGAGCCUUUGAGCUAAUUUUCAGUAAAAGAGUAAAUGCUUCCAUAAUUAAGUAAGAGAGGAAACUUUGAUUUCCAAGAGAGCCUUUGAGCUAAGUUUUGAGCAAUUAUCUCAUACCACAGAAAGAAGUUAUGUUUUUAAACAUAAGAGCUAGUAUUAUAUUUUGGGAGUAGUAUUGAGCACCGAUAUAGGGGAGAGUUCAGACAACUCCCAUCCCCCAUAAACCAUGUAGCCACCAUGGGUAGAAAAUGGUCAUACUUUUUAGAUGAAUUCUUAGUGCUUUUUAGCAUAGAGUAGUGGAUCCACUUAGUAGUCAGGUUCUAUACCCUCGACAAGGUAUAGGACGACCCUAGCAGCGUGAGGCAAAACGAUGUAUCAUCACAAUAGCUCUUAAGUGAUGGUUGUCGGUUAGAGAAACUCCCACAUCAGUAUUUUGUAUUCUUAUAUACACAAAAGUAAAUUGUAUUUUUAUCUACAUUCCAGAGUUUAUAUUGUAUCCUUGAAUACAUACAAAGUUACUAUUGUAUUUCUAAAUACACAGAGUUGAUAUCCAUGUUUUAAAAGCUUUUCUCUAUACUGCAUUCAUAUUAUUGCUUUAUAUUGAAAUGAGUUAAGUUGAGUUGAGUUGAGCCGAGGUAAGUUUUUUCAGUUCCUUUCAAGCUUAUGUCUUGUUUUAGUAUUCCCCUCGCAUUCUCGUACAUUCAAUGUACUGAUGUCAUUUGGCCCGCAUCGUUGUUAUGAUGCAGAUAGAGGUAACCAGGAUCAUCAUCCAAUGCAUCGUUCAGAGUUUGUUGGUGAACCUCCUUGCUUCUGGAGGAUCCCCUUUUUAUUGCUUUCAGUAUUUUAGUUCAUUAGGAUGUCGUGGGUCUUGUCCUAACGUCCAUCUCAAUUAUUAGAGGCUUCAUAGAUAGUUAAUUAAUUCAUUUGUCACUAUUUUGUUAUUGGCUUAUGUUUUGAGACUUGAGUUGCCAUCUUGGCCAGUUGAAUGUUUCUUUUAAGACAUUCUAAGUUAUUUCAUGAGUUCAUCAUUUGAGACUAUUUCUUGUGUUUAAGUCUUUCGCUGAGUAGUAAGCCAGGCUAAGGGUUCGCUUGGGGUCAGUAUUGGUUCUCAAGUGCUAGUCCCUCCCAGGGUGUAGGCUCGGGCCGCAUAUUCCAAGGUCUUGGAAUUUAGUAGCACAUAAUUUAGCAAAUUUUUCUAUUUCGUUAGUACGCAAAGUUGUUUGGCUUUCUACUUUCCCUAGAUGGAUUGUAAAUGAUGCUAUCACAUCUUUUAAUUCUUUGAACUUUUUUAUGCAUUAAUAUAACUAGCAUGUUGAUUGUCAAAAAAUAAAUAAAUCAUGGGCUUGAAGAAAUCUAAAAAGGUUUCAUGGGCUUCUGGACCUAAUCUUUGUCAGGUAUACACAAAAUUUCUCCAUCGAGUCUCAGUUUACUCUAUUUAAUGCAUGAAUUUUGAUGUUUAUUUUCAUUUCUUACAUAUGACUAUGGAUCAAUUUAUUGGUUGGUCUCGAUACCAAGCCCAAAUAAACCGUUUGGUGCUGCAACAUCUAGAGCAUAACCAGUUUGAGUCUAUCCACAACUGGACACUUGAAAUUGGCAUGUAUUAGAGAAUGAAUUUCAGUGGGGGCAGAUGUAGAAAACUUCUCAGUUAACCUUAAUCAAAUGUACUUGUUGGCACCCAAUUUUGUCCCCCACUUCUUCUAAUUUAUUUCGUUGAGCUUCUAAAUUAGUAAUAAGUCAAAUACUUUAUACUUCACGACUAUUUUGAUUUAUUACUAAUGUUGUCGUAAUUUUCAUUAGAUAUUAUUAAUAUUAUUACUCUAGCCUUUAUUAUUUUUAUGAUUAUCAUCCUUUUAUUAAUAUUUUCAUUAUUUUAAAAUAAUAUUUUUAUCAUUAACAUUACUACUAUAUUGCUGUCUUCUUUAAAAUGAUCGUCGUUACUUUAUUUCAAGUUUCUUACUUACUAAACUUUUUACAUAAUAUAUAUUAUACUAGUUAUUAAAUUAGAAGCUCAAAGAAAGAAUAUUCUUCAAAAGAGAAGGUAAAAAGGGAAUAUUAUGCAAAAUAGCAAACAUUUAGCCUAUGUUAGGUACUAUAGCUACAAUUUAAGAAAAAUGUAAUUCGCAGCUGCAAUUUCCUCAAUUCUUGCUAUUCCCAUGACUUUUAUAAUUCACCAUAUUUGUAUAAAUUAAUAAUUUGUAUAAUUCAGUUUCUGAUUGUAUAAAUGCAAAAUUUUGUAUAUGCUUAUCCUUGUAUAUGAUUUAUGAAAAAUUUAUAAUAAAUUACCAUGUUUGUACAUUGGCAAGCGAAAUAUACAAAUGAAGUUCUGAAAAAUUUCUAAAUGUAUAAAUACAAAUUUUUGUAUAUACUUACCCUAUUUGUAUAUUCGCAAGAGAAAUGUACAAACAGGCAAAAUUAUACAAACCGUACCCUCCAUAGCAAAUGAACUAUAGUUAUGAAGCACAAUUAUUAAAACUAUAGUUAUAAAACCUUAUUAUAUCUACUAUAUUUGCUAUUUCUGAAAUUUUCUCAAGGGAAAAACUAUCAGAUUCGUACCCAAUUAGUGGCCCAAUCGAAUUGAGCCCAACAAAUUUAGGCCCAAUUCAUCCAAUAUUGUUCCAUUAAUUCUAAGUCCAACUAGGUCUUAGUCCUUAGAUGCUCCUCCCCCUCCCAUUUCAAGAGUAAUUUCCCUAGAUAGUCACUCAUGUUUGAGAAAUUACCUAGUAAUAUCACUUAUGUUUGUUUUAGGACCACAAUAUCACCCAACUUUACAUAUUUUCCUCAAAAUAUACUAGACACAAAAAAAUAAUUGUUCUCUCUCCUAUUGGGAUGCCAUGCACUACAAUCAAAACACCUUUUAGCGGCAAUAAAUAAACACAUUAAUAAAGAGUGUUAAAGCUUUUACCGGCAUUAGUUAAGUGUUAUUAGAUCCAAUGUUGCUAAAGGUUUUAGGGACAUAUACAAAGAGUGUUGAUUGCCUCUAAAAAUACAUAUUUAGUGGCAAUUGAACUAUUGCCGUUAAUUAAUUGCCGCUAAAGAUCAUUUUUGAUGUAGUGAUGUCACAUUUUCAUUUUUUCUUAAAAAAUUUAACUUUUUAAAAUAACUCAUAUGUUAUAUUCAUUAAUUUUUUUUAAAUUAUUUAUCAUUUUUAGUUUUUUACUUUAGCAUAUUAAGAGAUAGACAUUUGUUUUUCUAUUAUUACAUUUAACAUUAAUUAUUUUCUAAAUUAUUUCUUAAAUCAUUCCUUCUUUAAUUUCUUAAAGAAUAUGCAAAGUGCACACUUUUAAUGAUAUUUCAUGUCAUAUUAUUCUUUUUUUUUUAAUUAAUAUUUUUUAAUUUUUUUUUAAAACUGGAAAAAUUUAGUUUCUACUCCUUCCGUCCAUCUUUACAUCUUUACUUGUUAAGUAUUAAUUUGACAUAUCUCUUGAGAAAUAAUAAAGAUAAUUUUACUAUAUCAAUCUUUUAAAAUAAUAAAUUUUAUAUUUUAAAAAAUGCAUUGGCAAAUGACUAUAAUUAAUAAUAAGAGUGGAUUAGGAAUUAAAUAAAUUAUCACUUGAUUUUCUAAAGAAAACAAGUAACAAAUGAAUAAUUAUUUAUAACGUAAUGAAUAAAUAAAAAAUGGACAGAGGGAAUAGUUGCUAGAAAAAAUUCCGUAAAAAGAAUUAGUUGAUAUAAUACUCUUGAGUUUUUAUGAGUACGUGAAAAUUGUUCUCUAACGUCAAACUUUUUUUUUUUGUUCACUUUUACUUGUUUUUAAUGUUAACCUUGUGCAUUUUAUAAGAACUUAAAGAAUGAAUGAUUUAAAAAAUGAUUUAGAAUAAAUAAUUAGUGUUAACCGUAAUAACAGAAAACAAAUAUGAGUUGUUUAAAAAUGUUCACUUUGUGUUAUGUAAUUAUUAUUUUUACAGAGUAUAUCAUAUAGGUUGAUUUAAAAAGUUAAUCAUUUUAAUUAUUAGUAAAAGAGGAAUAAUGUGACAUAGGCGAGAGAGAAAAAUGUUUUUUUGUGUCAAGUAUAUUUUGAGAAAAAUAUGCUUAGGUGAUAUUGUAGUCCUAAAUCAAACAAAAGUGAUAUUAGUAGGUAAUUUUUCAAACAUGAAUAACUAUCUAAGGAAAUUACUCCCCAUUUCAAUGAAAGCUCACCAUCUCCAUCAACACUAAAUAGAAGUUGUCACACCAUUUUUGACAAAUGUUAUACCUCUCUCAUAGCUUUAUUCACUUCAACAGUGCUCUCUCUCUCAUCAUAAGAGAAGAUUUGGUCAAUACAAGAAGCCAAAAAGCUUUUUGAUUUUGAUUUUUUUGGGCAAAGUUUCAGUGUUCAAACGCUUCUGUUUGUGGAAUCCAAAAUCAUCUCGUGACGGCUGAAUUUGAAUUUCAAAAGAUGAGACCUUAACCCCAAUUUUUUUGUCUAUAAAUACAUCUCAAUCUCUCAUCCAAUAGCACCCUGGAAACAUUGGAAAAUUUUCAUCAUUUCAUUAUCAAAAUACUUUCUCAAAGGCUUGAACACUCACAAUAACACCACUCUUUUACAUUUCAAUAUCAUCUUACGAAAACAUCUUUUACUCUACUCUCUAUUGCUUGACUUUGUCAGAGGAACGACUUAAGAUCCUUGAUCAACGACCUCAGUUCACUGCCCACAAACGGUACCGUCAACUUCCUUUUUCCCUUUUUUUUUUAGUUUUACCGUGUUUAAUUCGCUUAAAAAUCAUAAUUACAUUUUAAAGUAGUACUUAUGUUCCUUCUGUAAGAGUUCUAGUUUGUAAGUUAGAAGUCUUUUUUUCAAAGAAUUUAUACUAAACCUUUGGGUGAGUUUUUGGAUAACACAUGAAUAUAUUUAAGGCUGUAUUUGAAUCUCUCUCCCUUAACACUACCGAAAGUUAGUAUUAAUUUUAGAGAUAUUGUUAUGAACCGUGUCGUUACAGUAUUCAAACUAUUAUUGCAGCACAUCUAUUCCUUAUGUUUAAUCAUAAAAAAAGAUCUAAAAGUCUUGAAUAUUUGUUGAAAUCUGUUAACUAAUUCUUAUUUCCUCUCUUAUAUUUGUUUACAUGUACACACCGGAGCCGAAGAGUCCCACCAUGAGACUCAACGACACCAUUGUCACAUGGGGUCUGCACAUCCCUGCUUUCAUAAUUAUUGUUUCUUACAUCUGCUUGCUUACUUGUUUGGCAUGACUAACACUUUUAUCUCAGUUAUGUGAUUAUUGAUUACUAGCCGAUUUGAUUCAUGACUUACAAUUGGCCGAGAAUGAUUUAUUAAUACGUUUUAAUGAUUUCGAGUUUUGUAUAUAAAUUAUUUCAAUUUGUUAACCUAAAGCUUGAGAUUUUACCUAAUCAAAUACCCUUCUAGUUUUUCCAUCUAUGUUUUUUUUAAGAAAUCAUUUUACUUGGCUAAUUUAUUUAUAUACCCACUUAUUAGUAUUUUUCAAAUCAAUCACAUUUAGCCUAAUUAAUUAAUUCGACCCGUUAACCAUUGUUAAUGGAUCUUAAAGGGUGCUUAAUACCUCCACUUUAGGUUAGUUGAACCCUUAUUUAGAAUUUUAUGUUUAGUAAACCUUAAAUGGAGUUAACUUUAGACAUGAAUUUGAUCAAUUUUAGGUGCCCUAAUUCACCAUAAAUAAUUAGGUGGUGACACCUUAACUUAGUUAUGAAUUUAGGAAUCAUCAAUAUGUUGUACACUAUUUUGACCCCGUUAAAAUGAUGUAUGACAGUACUUUCCAUACAACACAUCUAGCUGUUUAAAAUACACUGAAAAUUGACAUCAAUUAGAAAAACAGAAGUUCUAGAUACUUACCCAAAGAUCACACCCGCCUAGACAAAUUUCCCGCAUUGUCUUUUGUUCUGCAAAAUAUCAUCCAAUUGGCUGAACCUGAGUCAGGACAAAACAUCCCUGAAUCGAAUUUAAUCUGUAAAUCAAAUUGGCUGAACCUAAGUCAAGAUAAGACAUGCCUGAAUUGAUUUUGAUCUGCAAAUCCAAUUAGUUGAGGGAAAAUGCAUAAGUACCCCCCAGUCUAUGUCCAAAAUCCCUGAGACACACCUAACCUUUACUAAGGUCCUAUUACCCCCCGAACUUAUUUUAUAUAUAAUUUUCUACCCCUUUUCGACCUACGUGGCACUAUUCUUGAAAACAUUGUCAACACGCGCUGGGCCCACAAGAUAGUGCCACAUAGAAAAUUAUAUAUAAAAUAAGUUCGGGGAGGUAAUAGGACCUUAAUAAAGGUUAGGAGUGUCUCAGAGAUUUUGGGCAUAGGCUGGGGGGGGUACUUAUGCAUUUUCCCAUUAGUUGAACCUGAGUCAGGACAUGAGGUGAUUGAAUCUAACUGGGUUCGCUCUGGCGGAGGAACUAGAUCAGGGAAAAAAGGGAUUCAUUAGGCUUUGGGUUGUCAAAUCAAAUGAGAAAGAGAUAGAUUAGAGCUGGUGGAGGAACUAGAUCGAAAAAAUAAAGAUUCAUUAUUGAUUAGGACUUGGGUUGGCAUUUCAAACCAGAAAGAGAUACAUCCAACUAGCUUUCAAAACAACUUACAUAGAUUCAUUUGGAAUUAAGUAAAAACUUGCAUAAAGAAGUCAGAUCAUCGAUAAGGUCACCAAUGAAACUAGUAAUUAGCUAACCUGAUAAAUAAAAUAAUAGGUUACACUGGAAUAUGCAAUGAACUACAUUUGAUUUAGUGCUGCAAAGUAGCUUGGCCUAGCUUACUUAAAGGCAUCGGCGGAUCUAGGGUAUCGAGUUAGGAUUUUCGCGAACAACUUUUGCGCAAACCUUGUAUUUAUACAGAGAAAUAUAUUAAAUAUAUAAGAAAUAUUUGUUGAAACUUACUAACAAAGCAGUCACUUGGUCCCGUGGUAGUGAAGAAGACACGUAUACCUAGCUUGAUUUUUUGUAUGGGGGUUCAAUUAGCCUUGGACACAUUUAAAGAAGUUUCCCUUUUGAAUAAAUAAUUUUCUAUGUUUCUAGAUUUCAUUCCUAAACAAUAAUUUCAAAUUGAAAAGAACUUUUUUGUAUGUGUCCUAGGCAAAUCGAACCUCCAUACAAAAAAGGCAAACUAAGUAUAAGUGUCUUCUUCACUACCAUGAACCAAGUGUAAGUUGUCAACAAAUAUUUCUUAUAUGUUUAAUAGAUUUCUCCGUAUGAAUAUAAGGUUUGCAUAAAAAAUUGUUCCCGAAAACCCUAACCCGAUACCCUAGAUCCGCUGCUGCCUUUAAGUAUGCAAGGCUAAGCUACUUUGCAGCUCUGAUAAAAUGUAGUUCAUUGCAUAUUCCGAUGUAACCUAUUUUUUCAUUUGUCAGGUUAGCUAAUUACUAGUUUCAAUGGUGACCUUAUCGAUGAUCUAACUUCUUUAUGCAAGUUUUUACUUAAUUCCAAAUGAAUCUAUGCGAGUUGUUUCGAAAGCUAUGCUGGAUCUAUCUCUCUUGUUUGAAUUGUCAACCCAAGUCCUAAUGAGAAAUGUCCCUGUUUUUUCCGUUCCAGUUCUUCUACCAACGCUGAUUUAUCUCUUUCUCGUUUGAUUUGCCAACACAAAGCUUAAUGAAUCCCUCUUUUUCCAGUUCCUCCAUCAACGCGAACCUCAGUUAGAUUCUGGCACGUCCUGUCCUGACUCAGGUUCAACCAAUUGGAUUUGCAGAUCAAAUUUGAUUCAGGCAUGCCCUGUCCUGGCUCAGGUUCAGUCAAUUGGAUUUGUAGAUCAAAUUUGAUUUAGGGAUGUCCUGUCCUGGCUCAGAUUCAGUCAAUUGGAUUUGCAAAUCAAAUUUGAUUCCGGGAUGUCCAGUCAGCCAACUGGAUGAUAUUUUGCACUUGAGAACAGAAGAUAAUGUGAAAAAUUUUGUCCAGGCGGGUGUGAUCUUUGGGUAAGUAUCCUGAACUUUUUUUUUCUUUUUUCUAAUUGAUGUCAAUUUGCAGUGUAUUUUUAACUGCUAGAUGUGUUGUAUGGAAAGUACAUUUGGUUAAGGUAAACUGAUCUUUGGGUAAGUAUCCUGAACUUUUUUUUCUUUUUUCUAAUUGAUGUCAAUUUGCAGUGUAUUUUUAACUGCUAGAUGUGUUGUAUGGAAAGUACAUUUGGUUAAGGUAAACUGAUCUUUGGGUAAGUAUCCUGAACUUCUACAUUUGCCCAAAUUCAUUCUCUGAUACAUGCCAAUUUCAAUUGUGCAGUUGUAGACAGUUGCAGCAUCAAACGGUUUAUCAGUAAAAUUGGUCUCGACACACUGUGUGGUAAUCUCUCUCAAUCUCCAUUGAGUCUAAGUAGCCGAGACCAAUUUUACUGAUAUUCCUGCAAUUUCUAAAAGCUUCAAUGGUGCAUCUGUGGUUGAGAUCUAUGAGACAUCGAUGGGUGAUCAUUUUGUACGAAUUUAAUCUGGUCUUUUACUUUUAUAUUACAAUAAUGCAUAGAGACCGAAAAAAUCAUGUAAAAGAAAUUCAUAGUAGUCAAAUGAAUUAAAAUUAGCCCUUUCUAGGCAUAUAAAGAUAAUUUCAUGUGUUUUUUUUCCGCAUAUUUUGCUCCCAUCAGGGGAGGCAGUGGUCAAAUGCAAACCUCAGAUUGAUCUAAUAAAAAACUGCCCUGGCAGAGGAAUGAUAAUAACUGGACCUGCUCCACAGGGUUCCGGCUUUGAUUUCUAUAGCCAUUUCUUCUGCCCAAAGUUUGGAAUCAAUGAGGUAACUACCAACACUUGAAUGUAUAGUAUUUGCAUUCAAGCAGAUCAUAGUCACUGAAAAGGGUAGUGCUGAAUUUUGCAAAGUCUAGAUAAUUAAGCGAGUCAUAUUGAUAUUAUUUAUCAUAUCUUCGACAACUACAGAUGCAAACAUCUAUAUGUUGAUAUAGCUGAUGCAUCUUAGAGAUCUCACGUGUUCUCUUAUUGCACAUUUUUUCUUCAAACAACUUUUCAGGAUCCUUUUAGUGGAAGUGCUCAUUGUGCCUUGGCUCCUUAUUGGCGUGAAAAGCUUCGCAAAUGUGACUUUGUUGCUUUAGCGAUACUUACUCAUUUCUCAAAAUGCAAAGACUGUAAUACUUAUUCAUGUGUUUGUGCAAUCUGGGACUACUUAUACCAACUACAUAGUUCGGUUUGCCCAAUUGAUUGUAUUGUUUUGUUGUUCAGGCCUCACCUAGAGGUGGCGUCUUGAACCUGCAUGUAGACGACGCGAAGCAGAAGGUAUUUAUGAGAGGGAAUGUUGUGGCAGUCAUGGAAGGUUCUCUUCUAGUUUAAUGUCACAGUUCACAUCCAUGAUCUUUAUUCAUCUGCCACUAUCACAAAACUUUAAUAAUAUGUUGGAAGUAUGUGUCUAAAAUUUCUAAAUUGGUUUUUGGUAUGUACUUCACAAUGACUUUUUAAACAUCUUCAGUUUCUCAACCAUCAUCAGUUCAUUAGCCUACAAGUAGUGCUCGUGUCUUGUUAAUUUUGAAAUUGUGGGAAGCUACUCUUUUUAGGAUGAUAUUUCAGGUGUUUGGUUUUCAUUAUGGGUAAACUACAUAAAUCCCACAAGUUUAGAUCCUAAUUACUAGGAAUCUCGAUAGUUUUUGAUAUUACAUUCUAUACCAUUUUCGGCUAUUGGAUACAUGUGUCGAGAUACGUCAGAUACAUGUAUCAGUCAGAUGUAUAAGACCGAGAUUUACAAUUUAAAGUUUCAGAUACAUGUAUCAGUCGGGUGUAUAAGAUCGAGAUACACAUACUUUUGAAUUAAAUAUGUUAACUUAAUGCCUUAAUUAGCGGAGUAAAUUAUGGGAUACAAUUGAAGUUAGAUACAUAUUUUAAAGCGUUUGAAUUAAAUGAUUAUAACUAAUUUGCUCAAUCAAUAAAGUAAUUCACUAUUGUUAACAACUUUUGAGGAUCUGCAACAUAACAACUUCAAAAAAAAAUUCCAAGAAUAUAGAAAUUUGUUCAUUUUUUUCGAGAAACAUAAAAAGUGUAUAAAAUCUUCUUCUUUCCAUUAAUUCAAUUUUAUUUCUCCGAAUCUUGAUCUCUGUUUUUUUUCACAAUAGCCAUUUUUAUUCCAUUUUAAAACUGUGAUGGUGAAGUUGUUUUCACUAUAGCCAAAUUCAUAUACAUACCAGAUACAUUAACAGGAAAAUCAGAUUCACGACAUUAACAACUUAGAUACAUUAACAAAAAGCAGCUACAAGACAUUGAAAGCUUAGAUACAUUAACAUAAAAGAUCAAAUACAUAAAAAUAUUACAUCAGAUGCAUGAAACAAACAAACUAGAUACAUAGGAUAUUUAAAAUCAAACACAAUUCAUAGUCUCGAUGGUGAAAGCGGAGGAAAUUUGUUGAACAGAGAUGACGGCAACGAUGGCUGUUAUAGUCAGGAAAGUAGUAGUGUCGAUGCUGAGUCUAGAUAUAACAGUGAUAAUGAUUCCGAUUGCUCCGAUCUCGCUCUUCUUGUUGGCUUUUGAUUUUGGUUUUUUUUUUAUAUAUAGAAUUUGCAAGUUUUGGCUGUGAAAUUGUUUAGUUUGAAUACAGUUCAUGUUUGAAUAGGAGUAACCCUCAUUUCUGUGUUGAGAUGAUGAAUGAAAAUGUUUUUUGAUAGAUAUUUUAAAGAAAUUAUGUCUUUGAAAGGAUGAAGAAAGAGAGAAAAAUGGUGGAUAACGUGGGGGUGGGGGAGAGAUAUUGUUGGGGGAGGAGAUUGAGAGAAAUUGAAUUGUUAAAGUACCCUUAAUUAAGGAAUUUAAGUUUUAAGAUAAUUAUCUAAUACCAUAUUUAAGGGAUUUGUGUAUCUGAUUUAACUUUUUAAAAUAUAUGAUAUAAUUAUUAAAAAGUGGUAUUAUGAGUAAUAUUUUUAAACUAGAGGUAAAAUAUGUAUAUAUUGUAGUUAAGUAUGUCUAAUUAUAUAGUUUUACCUUAUUUUUACCUUUAUCGACACUUUGCUUAUUCCAAGAAUAUAGAAAUUUGUUCAUUUUUUUCGAGAAACAUAAAAAGUGUAUAAAAUCUUCUUCUUUCCAUUAAUUCAAUUUUAUUUCUCCGAAUCUUGAUCUCUGUUUUUUUUCACAAUAGCCAUUUUUAUUCCAUUUUAAAACUGUGAUGGUGAAGUUGUUUUCACUAUAGCCAAAUUCAUAUACAUACCAGAUACAUUAACAGGAAAAAUCAGAUUCACGACAUUAACAACUUAGAUACAUUAACAAAAAGCAGCUACAAGACAUUGAAAGCUUAGAUACAUUAACAUAAAAGAUCAAAUACAUAAAAAUAUUACAUCAGAUGCAUGAAACAAACAAACUAGAUACAUAGGAUAUUUAAAAUCAAACACAAUUCAUAGUCUCGAUGGUGAAAGCGGAGGAAAUUUGUUGAACAGAGAUGACGGCAACGAUGGCUGUUAUAGUCAGGAAAGUAGUAGUGUCGAUGCUGAGUCUAGAUAUAACAGUGAUAAUGAUUCCGAUUGCUCCGAUCUCGCUCUUCUUGUUGGCUUUUGAUUUUGGUUUUUUUUUUAUAUAUAGAAUUUGCAAGUUUUGGCUGUGAAAUUGUUUAGUUUGAAUACAGUUCAUGUUUGAAUAGGAGUAACCCUCAUUUCUGUGUUGAGAUGAUGAAUGAAAAUGUUUUUUGAUAGAUAUUUUAAAGAAAUUAUGUCUUUGAAAGGAUGAAGAAAGAGAGAAAAAUGGUGGAUAACGUGGGGGUGGGGGAGAGAUAUUGUUGGGGGAGGAGAUUGAGAGAAAUUGAAUUGUUAAAGUACCCUUAAUUAAGGAAUUUAAGUUUUAAGAUAAUUAUCUAAUACCAUAUUUAAGGGAUUUGUGUAUCUGAUUUAACUUUUUAAAAUAUAUGAUAUAAUUAUUAAAAAGUGGUAUUAUGAGUAAUAUUUUUAAACUAGAGGUAAAAUAUGUAUAUAUUGUAGUUAAGUAUGUCUAAUUAUAUAGUUUUACCUACUCAUUAUUUUUUGAUAACUGGAAUGGCUAAUGUUCCUGCAUGAUUAAGCUUCUGAUUUUACUAAUCAUUUCCUUUAAGAAUAUUAAAAUGAAGGAUAAGUGGACAACUUACAUAAAUCUCAUUAGUUUAGUACCUAAUUAUCUUUCUUCUCUUUACUUCUCAUUAUUAUGAAACUUACCAGAAUUUGGACUUCAGAUACAUGUAGUUGGCGCGUCCGAUACAUAUAUCUCGGAUAUAUAAAGUCAAAAUUUGGUGGAAUUUAUUUUAGAUACACUAUAUUCAAAUAUAUUCACAUAUAUCUACUCUUUGGCUCGUCUCCCUCCUAUCUUGCUCACCACUCUCAUCUCUCGCACACCUCUCUCCAUGUAUCUAUUAUCUCAAAUACAUGUAUCUAGUAUGAUUCGUAUGUAUCUGAGCUACAUAGACUAUCUCACUCACAUCUCUCCCUAUUUUAGUGUAUUUGAUAGUAAAAAUACAUGUAGGUGUAUCUGACUUGAAAUUUGGUAUGAAAUUAUUAAUUAGUGAGACAAUAUGUAAUUAUUUCAAACUAUAGAGAAAAUUAAUAAAUACAGUAGGAAUUUUUGUUUAGUUAGGUAGUUUUUCCUAAUUUGUUAUCCCAUAAAAAAAAUUAAAACUUAGAUGAAAAUGUGUAGGGAUUAAUUAUGAGUGAAUCUAUGUAUUAUUUUAUACAGUGAUUACUUAUUCAUGUAUUGGUUAUACAUGUAUGAGUUAUUCCAUGCAUAUUCUAUCACCCAUAGAAUAACACAAUGAUUUCGUCAUAACUUAUAUAUUUAUUAGUUGUGCGAAUAUCUAAAUUGUCAACCAAAUAUUGUAUUAAUUUUAUGUAUGAAUAACUUAUUUGUUAUCUACCUACCAAACGUCGUAUAAGUUAUACUUAAAUUAAUAUAUGCAUAAUUCGUUUCAUAUAUAUCCAUCUAAAAUUAGUAAUAAAAUGAUAUUGAUACCUAAUGGUUAUAGUGAAUGAGGAUGGUGAUUAGCGAUAUAUAAUUGUCAUGCCCUGAGCCUACACCCUGGGUGGGACUGGCACUCGAGAACCAUUGCUGGUCCCAAGCGAACCCUUGGCCUGACUUACUACUCAACGGAAGACUUUACUCAACAUUUAAGACAACUCAAGAGAUAAAUUCAUAAUCAAACUUAGAAUGUAUAAAGGAAAAACGUUCAACUGGCCAUAAAGACAACUCAAGUCUUACGAUCAAAACAACUGAAAUGAAUAAGACUAACGAACUACUAAUGUCUAACUGUCUAUGAAGCCUCUAAUACUUAAGAGGGAUGUCGAGACAAGACCCCUGAUCAUACUAACAAUUGAAAUAAACAAAGCAAUAAAAGGGGACCCUCCGAAAAGCAAGGAGGCUCACCAAAUGACUCUGAGUGCUCAACGAAGCGUUGGAUGCUGAUCCUGGUUACCUGUAUCUGCAUCAUAAAAUGAUGCAGGCCAAAUGGCAUCACUACAUUGAUGUACGAGCAUGGGAGGGGAAACCUAAACAUGACAUAAACUUGAAAUAAACACUUACCUCAACUUUUCUCAACUCAUGGUUACUCAACUCAAUGCAGAAAUAAACAACAGUAAAAAUGCGGUUUAUAUAAAGCAUUUAAACAGUAAGUAGCAACUCAAUGUAUUGGAGAAAUACCAUAACAACUCAAUUUAUAUAUAUAAUAAAGUAAUAUAAUUAUGUAGGAAUUUCUCUAACCGACAACCAUCACUAUGAGCUAUGUGAUGAUAUAACGUCUCGCCCACGCUGCCAGAACUAUCCUAUAAUUUGUUGGGAUAUAGAACGCCUCAACUAAGUGGAUCCACUAGUCUAUGCUAAAAAGCAUUAAGGAAUCAUCUAAAAAGUAUGACACUUUCUACCCACGUUGGCUACAUGGUUUAUGGAGACUUGAGUUAUUAUGAACUCGUCCCCAUAUCGGUGCUAAAUACUACUCCCAAAAUAUACUCAGCUCAUAUGUUUUAAAAACAUAACUCUUUCUCUGUGGUUUGAGAUUAUUACUCAAACACUCUCUUGGAAAUCGGUGUUUUCGUUCUUGUUUAAAUGUGGAAACAUUUACUCUUUGGGAAUACUUAGUCCCCAUAUAGUCUUUUGAAGAAAAUGAACUUCACUCUUACUCUUACUCAAUUCAAUGCUUAAGUCUUAAAACAAGUUUAAAACAUUAAUAAAAAGACUUUUGAAAUGACUCUAAGAACUCUCUAGACUUGCCUCUUAACUUUCCUUGAAUUUGAAUUUAUGGAUUCAAGGUUUUGAUUCAUGUUUACGGAUGAUUUCUAGAUGUUUAGAAGUCAAUUAGAGUAGUUAGAAUCGAUAGUAAGUGUUAGUACACUUUAGAAGGACUCAGACGGGCUAAACGAUGAAAAACGGGUGGGGGCGGACGACCCGGGCGCACUGCUGGCGCGCCAACCAGCCCCCAAAGCUCAUAGACCUAUUUUGGGCGCAUUGCUGGUGCGCCACCCCAGCCUCCUUGGCGCAUCAGGGGCGCACCGCGCUAGCUUCCCCCAGGCAAACCCGACAAACUUUUCAACUCGUUUUCUGAUAUUAAUUCGAUUAAAUUCGACCCUUUCCUCAAUUUCUCUUUAGAUUCAGAUACCCCAAACAUGUACACAAGAAUCUAACUCAAAAAACUCUAAUAAUCAACACUAUAAUCUCAAGAAACUCCUCAAUCUCAUCCCGAUUCAAUAACGAAAGUAAAUUCAAGAACACAUAUCAAGAACAUUCAAAUUUUCAACUUUUUAGGACGAAUUCAUGCUGAAUUAAACAUGUUUGGCGCGUGGGUGAACGAACCCAACGCUGUGUGAACUCGCAUACCUUGUAGGAUCAAAUCCUUUGUGAAAUCCGCAAUCAAUUCCUCAAGAAAUCGACGAAUCUUGACCUUUCUCUUCUCUUCUUUAAAACCCUAGCGUGAAAUCUUUGAGUGCGUAAACUUAACCAAUUCAGUUUAGACCCCUAAUUAAUUACUAAAAAUGAAAUAACUUAAUUGGGUAAGGAAAAGACCAUAAUACCCCUCUAAAUUCGGGAGAUUUUCCUUAUUCGAACAACCCGACUUCAAAUAGGCAUAUCUCCCUUGCACGAACUCAAAAAUUAGCAAACUCGGUGGCGUUGGAAAGAUAAUUCAACGAACUUUCAUUUGAUAUCUUGUAGCUCACUUAACUCAUCCUGUGCUGAGAGUUAUGGUCGUUUGAAGUUGACCCAAAACUCAUACUUAACAUAACUUUCCAAAUUUCAGAUUUUCAUUAUUUCUAAAAAUGGUUCUUUCUAAUUCUAGUUCUUUCAAAUAGCGGGAUGUCACAAUAAUUCUCUAAUGAUUGUAAUUAUCGAUAGUGAAUAGUGAAUGUAAUAAUAGUUGAUGGUGAUAAUUGCAAAUGAUGUCUAAUUAUGGUGACAAUUGAUUUUGGUGAUUGAUGAUUGUAGUUAGGUUAUGGAUGGUAGGUGGUGGUGGUUGACGAUAGUAGUAGUGGUGCUGAAAUGGUAUAGUCAUAAGUGGUGAGUGAAAUUAAAGUAAAUGGAGUAGGGGUGAAUUAUCAUCUUUUAAUGAAUUCUUAAAUAGACAUUAAUAUAUUAAUGAUAUUAAGAGUUGAUAUUGAAUCUAUGAUUUUACAUUUUGCUUAAUUAAAAAAUAUUGAAGUUUGUCAAAAAAUGGACAUAAUCUUUUAUUUAAAAAAAAAGGAAAGAAAAGUUGUGUUCUUUUAACAAUAGAAAUGUUUAAGAAUAUAAAUUUAACUACUAAAGUCUUCAUAUCAAUAAAUAAAGUUUUUUAUGAUAAGAUCCAAGAUAAGAUAUCGUGAACACAUGACAUACAUCUUAUUAUUCGGAAUUAAUUAAUACAAUAUAAACAAUGAUAAUAUUAUUAGACAUUUGUUGUAAAGUUAAUGACUUUAUGUCUUGUAAAAAUAUGCAUCAUAAUAAAUAGAUUAGUUAAUUAAUUAACGAAAAAAUAAAAGAGAAAAGCCUAAGAUCUUAACCGAGAAAAUGAUCAAAAUGGUGGUUGAGUAUAUCCAUUUUAUUGAAAUAGUCCUUGAUAUAUGUAAAAAAGUGAUCAAUUUUAUCAGAAUCUUAAAUCUUUUAAAGAAUCAUUAAUUGACAAUUUUUAUUUGAAAUCUGGGUUCUUAAAAGAUUCAAGAAACACAAUAGUUUGAAAAUUUUAUACUAUAAAAAAUGCUUAACUCGUUGGAAGAAUCAAACAUAGAAAGUUCAAUCUUCAUCCAGUUACACUAUUUUUGUCAAUUGCAGUCAUAAUUCACAUUGAAUUUGUUUUUUAAAAGCGAUUUUCUGAUAAACCAUUUCUCAAAUUCGAACCUUUACCAAAUAUUUAGUAUUUGUGAAAAUUUUGGAUUUUAGGAUUUUCACGAAGAGAAAAAUAGCUAUGAUUAAAUUUGCGGGUAUAUUUGUAUAAUUGAGCUAUUUUUGUAUAAAUUAGAAAAAAAUAAAUUUUACAAACACAAACAUCUGAAUUUUAAACAGUUAUACAAAUUAUAUUAUACAAAUUAUAUUAUACAAAUUCUGAAUUAUUCAAACUAAAACACUAACCGCGUAAUUAUAGCUAAAAGUAGGUCGCAGAUUUUAAUUAAGGCAAACUGUAGCUAUGUUAACUAAUUAAUUAGUAUAUAUUUGCUUAUCCACGUAAUUUUCUCAUAUUUAUUCAACAAAAUUUUAAAGAACUUUUUUUUGAAAAAAUCUAAUCCAAAUCAAAAUACCACUACAAAAAAUUGUUAAUUUGCUAAGGUCAAAUUACCAAUUGCGAGGUUUAACCCCGCAAUAUGUUUAGUGGCGGAGCCAUAAAUUUCAUGAAGGGUGUCCAUAAAAAAAGGAAAUUUCACGAAGAGUGUCCAUAAAAAAGGGAAAAAAGUGUUGCUAGUGAGAUUUGAACACAUGAGCAGUUAAGGCUAUUUCAAGGCAUCUAAAACCAUUGGGCUACAAUACCUUAUUCUAUCAAAGAUGUCCAAAAUUUGUUAUUUAAUCACUUCGUGUAUCAUUUUUACCUAUAAAUGCGGUAUUGUUUACCAAUGAAGGGUGUCCAAUUGAACACCCUCACUAUAGGGUAGCUACGCCCCUGAAUAUGUUGUCCUGGCGGUUUUCAAAACCCCAGCAUUUUCAUCUGUUGCAAUUAUUUUUCAGAGGUUUUUAAAGAACCGCUGCAACCAAUUUCGACGGUUAUUUUUUGACUGUUUUAGCCCUCCUAAUCCAUUUUUAGAAUUCUUUAUAAUACUUCAUUUCGCGGGUUAUGAUUCCCGCUGAUUGCCUAAUUUUUUUUUUUUUAACGUUUUGCAAAUAAUAAUCUCCUCAUUUUUUGGCAAUAUAUAUUUUUCCAUAAUUAUUAGCACCAUUAGCUUUUAUAGCACAUUUUUUUUAUAUAAUAGAUCACACCUUACACAGAUUUAUGCAUUAAUCAAAAGUAGCAAUAGAAGAGAAGUUCAACAAUCUAUAAAAUUUUCAUUUUGGUCAUGAAAAUUCUGAAAUAGAAGCCACAAUAAGAUUUUUUUUUUUUGGAAAUCUUUCAUUUUCACAAAGAGCAAAAACAUACAAAAAGAAUAAAGAAGGUUACCAGCUACAUUCUUGAUUCAAGACAGAUGUCUACGAAAGUACAUACCAUUUCAAAGAACACUAAAGUCGCUUACCUAAUACGAUUUUAAGUAAUAAUUUCCCAAAGAGCACUUCAAAUCAUGUCUCCAUAUCGAUAAGUGCAUUGUAGAAAUAUGAGAUUGUUAACUUCGUUAGAUGUUUUAUUUCCUUGAACAAAACUAAAAAUAUCAUUGACCAACCAUCACCAUUUCGCACCAACAAACAAGAUGUGCUUUAAGUAAUCUUAUUUGAGACAGUAAUCCAAUGUGUUCUAAAGUAUUAUGUACUCUUAGAUGAUCUUGUAUGCAUGACAUCGAUUCUUGGGGGAUAUAUAUUGUUAAUUUUCUUGCAAUUGUUAUAAAGAUUUGUAUGGAUUUAAGUUAUACUUGUCAUAGCAGUAUCCAGACACUUUAUUCUUCUCUUUCAAGCUCUCUAAUGUGUUAGCAAAGCAUGGCUAUCACAAUUUACUUCGGGAGACUUAAAGCAAGAAGCAACUAAUUUCUGCAACUGUAAAUAGUUGAAGCUAUAUCUAUCUAUCUAAUAGCAUUGAUAAAAACACAGUCAAAUCAGUUUAUGGCUCACAGAGAGUAGAUAUUCUCACCGACGACAAUAAACUUCUCUUGUUACAUCAAGUGUUGAGAACUAAAAAAAAAACUACUUCUUGCCCCUCCAAAACAGAAGCAAUGACCCCUUCGAUCAAUACUUUCUUUACUUCCUCACUUCACCAUCUCAUUGCCUCAUGCUCCUUCAAACUAAAGGCAACUAAUUAUCUAACCUGGAGGACACAAAUGAUCCACACACAUGUAUGUGGAUCGGAAGCCAACAAUCACAGGACAAACAACUCAGGUAAUCUGACUGAUCUCAAAAACUAUAAUGGAUCUGAUAAGAUCAUUGUUGGAAUUCGUUCAAAGGUAGAUAUCACUCAUAUUGGAAAUACAACUAAAUAAGGAUUGAAAUUAAAGGAAAUGUUUUUUGGUUCCCAAGAUCACUAAGAAUCUGCUUUCCUUUUAUAAGAUUGCCAAGGAUAACUUAUGCACUCUUGAAUUUGAUGAAUCUAACUUUGUCGUUAAGAACAAUGAGACAAGGACACUACUGGUCAAAGGAUCUAGGAAAGAUGUACUCUAUGCCUCGGAGAUAACAACCUUUAUGCCUUAACUGCAUCACAAUACUGGAAGAGCUCAAACAGUAUAUGACAUUUAGAUUAGGACAUCCUAGUUUGAAGUCUUUAACAAUUUUGAGUAGAAAUAGUUGUUUCAAUGUUACUAGUUGAAAUGAAGUGCCUAAUGUGUAUUUGAGUUGUCAGUUGGGAAAAGAAUAUAAAUUACCAUUUGUCUUGAGAAAUAAAAUUAAGAAAGAACCUUUGUUGAAAAUACAUUGUGAUCUCUAGGGGCCUGCUCCUGUUGAAUCUUCUCAACAAAUGAGGUAUUAUGUAGUGUUUGUAGAUGAUGACACAAGGUUUACAUGAAUUUAUCCAUUGAAAAAGAUAUCAGAAUUCCUUGAAGUAUUUUUAAAAUUUCAGAAAAAUGGUGGAAAAACAAUUCUAAAAAACUAUUAAAAUAAUUCAAUGUGAUGGAUGUGGUGAGUUCAUCAACACAAACUUGACUAAGCACCAGGAGGAUUGUGGAAUUAUCAAGCAUAUUUCAUGUCCUAACACACUAGAACAGAAUGACAUUACUGAAAGAAAGCACAUAUACAUAAUUGGACUGGUUUCACUUAGUUGUUUCAUGUCAAAUUACCCUUGUUCCUAUGGCAAGAAGCCUUCUUGACUACUGUGUUUCUCAUAAACAGGCUCCCCUACUUAGUACUGCAAAUGAAAAACUCCUUUUGUGAAGUUGUAUGGUGCACAACUUGACUACAACAGUCUCAAAGCAUUUGGAUACAUGUGUUUUCCUUACUUGAAAGGUAGCACAAAGUUCAGCCCAAAAAUUUAUCCUUGUGUGUACAUAGGAUAUAUAUAAUAAUCUGCACAAGAGCUAUAGGUGCUAUCAGAAGAGUAUAUGUGUCUAGACAUGUGGUGUUUGAUGAAAGCACACUACCUUAUGUACACUCAGAUCAAUCCCAGGAAAAAUCUAAUGUAUCUACUCACUUAGAUGCAGACACCAAACAUUACCAGCUCCACUUUAGGGGGAGUACUGUACAACAGUCAUCAUGUUGCCACCAACGAUAAGCAAAUGGUAGAACUUGUGAUAUACUUUAGUUGCCAUUUUGCUUUAACAAAACAAAUUAAAUAUGAUGCUUACUUGUGAAUUAUAAGUUGAGAUUUUUUUCAUGAGGAUUUCCUGCGAAAAUGUAAUCCUACAAAAUAAAAUGCAAGAAAAUUCCAUGUGUUCCUUCCAGCUCAGUUAAUUAUUCAUUCUUUCUUCUGAAACAAGUCAUCUUCAUCGAGAAGUGCCACAUUAUUAUGUGUGUUUUUGUUGUUGGAAUGCAUAGGCAUUAUUACUGCAACAGAACCCAAAACAGAAAACAACAAGCUAAGGACUUGUUUGCUACUUCUUCAAUUCGAUGUGGCCCCGAUGGUGAUGGCGUCCUCACCCAAAAAUACCAUCACCACCAACUCAUGUCGACGUAACUCCAUCUCCAUCUCCAAUUGAUAAUGCGGCUUCACCAACGCAUAUGGCUCCAUCCCCAACUGAUGAUGUGGUUUCGCCACCGUCUUCGGGACAGUCCCCGGCUCCAACCACUUCUUGCAUCAAGGUGGACGGUUGUGCAUUAGAUUUGAUCACUUCCGUUUUCAACAAUGCUGCCAAGUACUUUCAACAAUUUUAGAGGAUUGCUUUUACAGAGAGUUCAUGCACUCCAAGAGGGUACCAUUUUUCCUAAGCAAAGUGAGAAAUUAUUGCAGUCAUGUGAUUGAUAAUGCGGCUCCAUCUCCAUCUCCGUUUGAUAAUGUGGCUUCACCAACUCAGGCAGCUCCAUCUCCAUCUCUAGUUGAUAAUGUGGCUUCACCAACUCGUGCGGCUCCGUCCCCAUCCCCAGUUGCUGAUGUGGUUUCGCCACCGCACAUGGCUCCCUCUUGGACCCCGGCCCCGGCUCCAACCACUUCUUGCAUCAAGGCAGGGGCGGCUCAACGUAAUCGGAGGCCUAAAGCGAAAUCUUAAUUAGAGGCCUAAAAUCUAAAUAAACUUCACAUGCAUUUAUUUAAAAUUUAUUUUUCUUACAUUUUUAAAUGCAAAGUAUUACCUAAUAUCUUUUUUUUAUAUAUAAAUGAUUUAUUCGAUUUCUUAUUCAAUUAUUAGUUUUAAAUAAGAUUUUAUUAAUUCAACGUUGAAAAAUAUUAUUUUACUCGGGCAAUCAUUAUAUGAAUUGUUAACAUAGUUCUACAAGUAAUAAGUUGACAAAUUUCAAAUAAAUAUAAGAGUUAGAACCAUAGCUUUGAUGAAGUUGAUAAUUUGGUUACCCCACAUUUUACUAUGGUUGCUGUAAUGCUUGAAAAUGUAAGAAGAAAUGGAAAAAGAAUUUACAAUUCAAUUUGUUCAACACUUUUCGACAAAAAGAAAAUAAUGUGAGUAUUAGUAGAGAGAGUGUAAGAAAAUAAAAUAAUAUUUUCUUGAUUUUUUCUAUUUGAAUUGGGUUGAAGAGAAUAAAAUAAUAAUUUUAAAUAUAUACUUUUUAUUAUAAAUAAUUAAUAUUUUUCUAUAAAAAAUUAACACAUAAUUUAUUCUUGGUAAAAAAUUGAGGCCCCCUAAAAUUGGGGGCCUAAGGCCAAUGUCUUAUUUUUGUAUACAUAGAGCCGGCCCUGCAUCAAGGUGGGCGGUUCUGCAUUAAAUUUUAUCACUUCCGUUUUCAAGAGUAAAAUUUCAUUAUCUACACAAUGCUGCCAAGUAAUUUCUACAAUUUCAGAUGGUUACUUUUACAAUGAGUUUACGCACUUCAAGAGGGUACCAUUUUUCCUAGGCAAAGUGAGGAAGUAUUGCCGUCAUAAUCAAAUCUUAGCUAGAGAAUAGGAUAAUGCAGCCAACUUUAUAUACGAUUUUGCCCCUCAAUAGGUGAUUAGGUGUUAGUUAAAUACUUCCACUUAAAUUCUUUAGUUAGUUCAAUUGGAUCUUCAUUUCUAUUUUACAGUUUAAUUACUACUCUCUCCAUGCAUAUUUAUUUGUCCAUGUUUGACUUGUCAUAUGAAUCUUGUGCAAUAUUCCAUUCUAUUCGACCCCGACAUCCCAACAAAUUAAUUGAUAAGAGGACUUACCAUGACAUUUUUACAUUAGCUAUAAACUUGCCACAAUCGUACAACCUAGAACAAGACUUUGUCGGCUCGAUUGUUUUAUUUUUUAACUGAAAAUCGAAUUCCUAAAACUUUUGAUUUGAGGCACUACUUUCUGAAUAGUUUAUAGGUUCUGAGCAAUGUUGUAUUUGAUAAUUAGGAGAAGCAUUACAUCAGUGGCAGCAUAGACUAUAUAUAUUGAGAUGAUUACAUCGAUACAAUCUUUAAAAAGAUGGUGGAGAUUUGUGGGUAUGCAUCUGAUUCAAUAACUUUUUGGCAUAAAUGUUAAAGUAGACAGCCGGCUUACUGAGAGGAGUCCCAUGUUGUAUCAAUAAUAGUAUAAGUAGUUGUAGUUUCCAGAGUUGCUUGGACAAUAGCAACAAAUGUGGCUUUGAUAGAACACAACGGGCUUCAAUUUGCCACCAGAGACAUUAUUUGUUUGGGGAUAUUAUUGUUAUUGGUAUCAGUAGGAGGGGGUUCAUAUUUUUGGUUUUAGGUGAUUUGAGGGAUUUGAGGGAAGGUGAGCUAGCUGGAAGGUAGGACAUUUUCUUGAAGAAGGAGAAGUCUCACAUCUAUAAAUAUAGCAACGGUUUCUGAUUGACUUGUGCAAUUACUCAGAGAGUUACAAGCAAAACACAAUCAAAUAGAGGAAAUUCAUAUUUGAGAACGUUCUUACUAAAAAAAACUGAAAAACGAAUUACUAAAACUUCUGAUGCACUACUUUAUGAAUAGUUUAUAGGUUCUGAGCAUCAAAUUUCUUUCUGCAAUAUUGUAUUUGAUUAUUAGGACAAGCAUCACAUCAUUGGCAGCAUAGACUAUAUUAAUUACAUUAAUAGGGACACACUGAAUCAACAUUUAAAAAGAUGAUGGAGAUUUGUCGGUAUGCAUAAGUGUGGAAAAUCUUGUAAAAGAUGGGGAUUGAUUUCUACAGAUUUUGAAUCACGUGCAGUUAUAGAGUUGGAUUCUGAAAAUGAGAGUUAUAGAGUUGAAAAAGAAGGCAGCGAGACAUGGACUUGAUUCUUGACUUAUUUGGCUGAUGAAUUUGGAUAUGCGUGACAAUGAGGCUUGUAGGACUUAUAUACGACAAAAAAGUAAUCUUCGGCAUUAAAGUAGACAACUGACUUACCUAGAUGAGUCCCAUGUUGAAUAUCAAUAGUAGAAGAAGCUGUUGUAGCUGCCAGAGUUGUUUGACAGUAGCAGCAAAUGUGGGCUUCGAUUUGUCAUUUUGAUUGUAGUCCUCUUUGGGGAUAUUAUUGUUAUUGGUAUCAGUAGGAGGGGGUUCAGAUUUUUGCUGUCUGUUCUGUUUUGCGGGACUGAUGUCUUUAAAAUUUUUCUCUAAUGUAUACAAUUAGUUGAGAUUAGUUAUAUGAAUCCUCGAGAUCCAUUUAUCUUUAGUUAUAUCAAUCCUCAAUGUAAAAACAUUUUUUUAUACUAAAGUGGCUGGGGAUUUCAAUGUGCUUGAUGUGGAACAAGGCUGCUAGUUGCGAGCUGCUAUGUAAUUUGUGCAGAAAAAAGAGACACCUACUAUAUAAAGGGGCAGAGAGAUACGUUCUUUUUCAUGCACACAAGCUUCAUAGAUUAGUAAUUUUUUUUUUUGGAUAAACAAGUAUGCAUCUUCUGUAACUAUGAAGCCACUGCUGGGGUUUGAAACUGCAAAAGGUUAAGUUAAGGCAAUCUGUCUGACAGAACCCUUUUAAGUUGUACAUAUUGCACUUGGUAAUAAAAUUCUUUAUCUACCCCC
This 53307-nucleotide long non-coding RNA is filed under the name Solanum tuberosum (potato). RNAcentral's name for it is "long non-coding RNA (STUB_LNC009238)". Lineage: Eukaryota; Viridiplantae; Streptophyta; Magnoliopsida; Solanales; Solanaceae. The record is from RNAcentral.